RNAcentral lists this long non-coding RNA (45598 nucleotides) under Sorghum bicolor (sorghum). RNAcentral's name for it is "long non-coding RNA (SBIC_LNC014299)". The stretch from base 5497 to 5603 matches the Rfam family "Plant small nucleolar RNA R71". Lineage: Eukaryota; Viridiplantae; Streptophyta; Magnoliopsida; Poales; Poaceae. The record is from RNAcentral.
CAUGCACAUCUUGAUUUGACUUAUUGACUUGUUUCUCUGGAUCCAUGGUUUGACUAUGCAAUAAAAGUCUUGUAAGUAUGUAUUAGCUGUCUCCCACCUAUGAGCUCCAAAUAUCAAAGCCUCAUUAGAGUAGGAUGAGAGAGAAGGCAAUAUCACUAUGCCUCAUACCACAAAUACUACAUACUUUGAGAGAAGGCAUAUAUCAUCACUGCCUUGGUGAGGAUCCAGAAAUACCACAAAAGAGAGAAUUGAGAGAGUCAUACAAGGAAUCUCUGGGUUUUAUUUUGAAAAUCUACAAAAACUCCAGAGCUAUAGUUGAUCAAAGAACAAGAGACAUGUGCUUGACUUGACCAUUCUAUCUUUUAACUGCUCAAGACACAAGUGAUGGUUGCAAGCCCCAUGGUGGAAGGUAAUAUGAGUAAGUUUAAAUCUUAACAGUUUAUCUUAACCUAGAGAUGAGAUCUUGUUUGAACGAAUGUGUACCUUUAAGGCAUAAAACCACUGCAGAAACUCUUGAGUCCAUCCUUGCUGAGGGACGAGCAAGAGGUAAGCUUGGGGGAGUUGUUGACGGUCCUUAAGUACCAAAUAUAAUCAUCAAAUAAAUAAAGAAAAGGAUCCAAAUGCAACCAACACCCAGACUUAGGGUUUUAUCUGACAGAAUUCCACGAGUUUUGGUGUUUAUCUAUUUCUAUAGGGGUUAUCAAGAAAUAUGGAGGAAAGGCCCACAUGUCGGGUUUACAUAAAGAUAUUAACGUGCCGCGCAAUUUUCUAUCAUCUAGAAGACUCCAGAAGCCACGGGAACGAACGGGAAGCGGAGUGGGCUCGGGGACAGGGCGCCCGCCCUGGUGUUUCGGCCAACCAUGUUCUACUUCACGGAAUAUGCUCCACCGACCUAAAGGAUCAAGGAAAACCAUGCGAUUCACUUGAGGGGACUAUAUAAGCAGGCCCCCUGGCCCCUGGAGGAGACACCCCCUUGAUCCUUAUUCAUUAUUCAUAGACAGCAAAAGCUAGGGUUUGGAGAUGAGACCUCUCCUCUCUUCUCUAAACUAGAGUAGAUCUAGAUAGUAGCGAGAUGGAGAGCGAGGGAGGAUUGGAGGAGAGGCCGGCCUGUCGGUUCUUCCUUCGGUUGUACUUUGCCAUGAUCAAGCUCUAAUCAAGCUUGCUCAUGGGAUGACUCUGGUAAUCUACUUUUAUUUCAUUAUGCAAUUACUAUCCAUGUAUGUUCUGGUUCAUAACUCUUUUGAGUACUUUAAUCUAUAGGACGCUAUAGGUGAGAGUUGUAGUAUAGGUGUAAGCGUGGUGCUUAGACCUAGAUUACUUGUGGAUAUCCCCUGUCUAACCGGAUCGUGUGGUAGGCCACGUAGGUGACAGUUACGUUGGUCCCCUGUAGUCCACCUCCCGUUAGGAGGACUGGUAGGGUUUAUCGGCCUAUGGAUAAGCAUCCUUUGUGGUGUAUUCUUAUCACGUGGUUCGUCCCAGACAUAGACAUACCACUUUGAAGUAGAGAAACCAGAGUUAUCCUCUCUAUUCUCCUACCAUUGCCCAUAUACUAGAUUGCUCUACUCUCUAUUCCCAUAUUAUCACCCAUUGUUAUGUUACCUUUAAUAUUGUUCUUAUUCAAUUUUACCAUCUUUCCUAUUUACACCUAUCUGUCUAGGUUAAGUUAGAGCGUAGAUCAGUUCUCCCGUUUCCCUGUGGAUACGAUAAAACCUUUAACCGCGUAAAAGUUACAACGGUAUCCGUGCGCUUGCAGGUUUAUCUGUGUGCGUAUAAAUACCAUAGUACACUCUAGUGCCAUGCUAGGGAUGACAACCUAGUAUUUAAGUGUUGUUAGCAAGUGUCAACAUGUAUGUGUGGCGAAUGAAUGGUGUAUGGUGAUGAUGGUGAUAACAAUGGUGAAUGUCUAAUUCUACUUUUUGUGCUCUUUUUGAGAGAUACAUACCUUUCUUGCUCUUUGAAACUUUUGAGGAGAAUGAUAUGCUCUACAUUUUCUUUUUCUUUCCUCCCAGGUGGGUAUCUUGUACCCCUAAUUCUACUGUCGGACACUUGUCCAUUUUUACCUCUCGUCUCACUUUUUCUUUUCUUUCGAGGUUCCAAGCACUUGCCCCUUUUUAUUUCCUCGUAUCUUGUUUUUCUUAGAGCACUCAUCUCCUGAAAUAAUAUAGCAAGUGGUAGUAACCAAGAUAACUCGAGCAUUUAUUUCACAGGGAAAAACAGCAAUGGGAUAAUGUUUUUUGCUAUUCUCUCCCGGAUUAGGUGUAGAAUACUUUUGAGUGGUUCUGGAGAUGGAAAUGGGUGGAUACAUGUGGAUGAGUACUCCCGGAGUAGUAGCAGCAUGUGUGAGUGAACGUGCAAGUGAAUCUUGAUUUAACCACAUGACAAGCUCCUAAGGGUCUACACAGCUUGACCAUACUCAAUGCUCAUAAGCAGUAAAAAGUAAAUGUGUGGCUCAAAAUCUAGCAAGCAUGUAUAUAUGGCUGUGGUAGGAAUUUAAACUCUCAUCAUACAGGACCUCAUCAUGUGAUAUUUUAAAGAUUUUCAAAGAUAAAAUUCUCCAGAUUUCUAGUAUCUCUAGGAAUAGAUAAACAACAGCUCAACCUUCCCAUAUCAUAUCCGUUAACAACUUAGAUUUCAGAUGAAGUUCUCUUCCCACAAGUUCAGGUUUAGAGCAAGCUUUAAAUUAUAACAGUUAUGUCUAAACUAGAGAGAGAACUUCAAAUUUGAAAAUUAGGCAGAGCAACUAUUCAUCAUAUCCAUGCUAGAGUUUUAUUUCAGUUUAGCAUAGCCACUUUAUUUAUUUAUUAAGCAUACUAAGCAAAAGAUAUAUAUAUAUAUCUAAGCACAAAAUCUUUAUUUGGUUUUUCAUAGUUAUGUAUAUUUUUAUUUUAAUAUAGUAUAAGUAUAUAGAUAGAUAGAAAUACUUAGCGGGAUAAAUGGGGGUGCUCUCCCCCAAGCUGGAUUUUGACGUAAUUUCUUUUGAUGUAGCUAGCAGGUGGCACAGGUGUAUUUGAAAGUCGGCAGCACCCUAACAGCGAUUAGAAUGUCCUCCAUCUGCUAGUCUUCUUGAUCCUUGAAUUCUGUGGAGCUCAAAUAGACAACAAAGCAUUGUAGAACUGAUUAGGUGUUAGCAUAAAUAUCUAGCCUUUAUCAUGUUGAGCUUCCUCAAUAAAUACUACUUUCUUUGGUAGGAUCACAAUUUUAUUUUUAUACUUUCAUUUUCUUAUAGAGCAGAAGAAUAUUUUUAUUUUAUUAUUAUGCCACCAUAGUGAAUGUACUUAUGGGUUUUAUGCCACUUGUAUACUCACAUGGGGCUUACUGUUUUUUAACAUUUUUUAUUUUCUUUUUAGGAUAGUAUGAACAUAAUUAACUAAGCAAACUAUUUUAAAUAAUUGAAAGGAAAAGGAUAACUACCAAGUUUACCUCUUGGCAAGGCGUUCGGUGUUUUUAAGUCCUCCGAACGGGACUCUCUGUUUUCUCAGUCGUCCUGGGAUUCGUUGGAUGGCGUAGUCGGUGGUUCCGGCGGCGCCUCCUCUUCGUGUAUAACUAUCUUCUCUCCACACCUGACUCGGUGCUACGGUCUCCUCAGGAUAGUUUUAUUCAAGCUAUAUGUCUUCAGACCUUACCACUUCUCCUUCGUAGUCUGCUCAUCCGUCCUUGAUGAUUUGCCUCUUCUAGUUUCGGUUGCGUCGUCUUCUUCUUGUCCUGACCUGCUUAGAGUCAUCAACUAUAUAGUUAGGAUCAGUAAAAUAGCGGCGUACCUUCUUAGAGGGGAAGUGCAUAUGAACUUCUUCGGUUCUAAUGUAGAUGAUUGCUUUAACGGUGCUGAGGAAUGAUCUCCCAAGGAUGAUGGGUGGAUCAUACUCGUCUUCUCCCAUGUCAAUAACCUGAAAGUCUGUAUGGACAAAAUGAUCGUCUAUUUUGAUAGGGACAUCAGUUACUAUACCUUUAAUCUUUCGGAAUGUCUGAUCUGCCAUCUAGAGCUGAAUGUAUGUCGGUUUUCGGGGCAUGGUUCCGAACAAGAGCCGAUAGGUGACUGCGGCCAUUAUGUUGACGCCCGAUCCGGUGUCGCAAAGCGUCUUGUAGAAGUUGUACCCAUUGAUGGAGCAAUGCAUGCUUGGCUUACCUGGGUCGUCCUUCUUGGUUAGAAACGGUGACUUGAGUCGAUGAUCUUGACCUCCAUGAACUGUAGUGACCAUCUUAGCUGACUCGGUCCACACUUGCUUGUUCAUGUUCCUCCUAUUGGUCCUCUUCCUUGGUUUAUGUCGGGAUUGCUCUGGGAUUUGUGUAGUCUUGUUCUUGAAGGAAAACAUCUCCUUCCUUCCCUUGAUGUAGAAACUGAUCUUGGCAGCACUAGGGUAGAUGACAGCUCCCGAGGUGUUCAGGAAUGGCCUCCCUAAGCUGACGGGUGCCCUCUCAUCAUUACCGGUCUCUAUCACCACGAAGUCUGCUGGGGCGUACAAGGUACCAACUCGGACGCAGAGGUUCUUCAAUAUUUCCUUUGAGAAACUUAGUGUCCGAUCUACAAGCUGCAAACACAUGGUUGUUUUUAAUAAAGCAUAUGUAAAGAAUUUUUCAUAGAGUUUCCUGGGCAUAAUGUUGACACUAGAGCCAAAGUCGCAGAGUGCUUCUAGGAAGUCCACCAUGCCAAUGGAGAUCGGCAUGACGGGGCGUCUUGGAUCGCCUCUCUUGACCGGCAGAAGGUCAGUAGUAACUUCCGUGACGGGGUUACUCCAGUAGUUACCUGUAUCAAACAUGUCUACAAGAUUUGCAGAUUCUAAUCCUUCCGGUUGUGAUGGUAUACCGGGGUUAGUAGCAGGAACAACAACAGCUAUUUGAUUUAACUGAGAUUCAAUCAUUUUAUUAAAACUAAUUUGAUUCUUGAUGGCAGUAGAGAAAUGAUGCAUUCUAUUAUUUAUAUUUUCUAGCAUUUUAUCAUUAGAUGCCAAUUUCUUAGAUAGGUUAUCCAUUAGCUUUCCUUGAUUAGACACUAACUCUCUCAGAAGUGGAAAAUUAUUAUUAUUGUAAGAAUUGUUACCUUGAUAAUUACCUAAGUAGUUAGGCCUCUGUUGAUUCCAACCUUAAUUUUGUUGAGGACGGUUGUAGUAAUUGUUGUUGAUGUAGUUCACGUCCUCAAGCCUCUCAGAGCAGUGAUUGCCUGAGUGUCCAGUAUCUCCACACUCCUCACAAGUCAUGUGAGAGUCGUAAACGUGCAUGACUUCUUUCUUCUCUCCAGCUCUAUCAUCGAGCUUCUUCAUGAGCAUGUCUAGCUUGGCAGACAGCAUGUCUACUUCCUUGAGUUGGUGCAUACCUCCACCUCUCUUGCGUGUCUGGGUCCUUUCUUCAUUCCAGCCUUGGUUGGACGCCAUCUUCUCCACAAGAGUUGUGGCUUGUGGUAUGGUGAGUGAUAGGAAUGCUCCUCCAGCUGCAGCAUCCAUGGUCUCACGGGCACUAUUGUCGAGCCCAUGAUAAAACGUCUGCAUCAGUAGCUAGCUCUCCAUUCCAUGAUGGGGACAUUCUAGGAUGUAGUCUUGGAAGCGCUCCCAUGCUUCUGGAACGGAUUCAUCAUGUUGUUGCUGAAAACUUGUAAUUUUCCCAUGCAGAGCAUUGGUCUUGCCCAUGGCAAAGAACUUAGCUAGAAAGUUCGUGGAGCAGAGUGCCCACGUAGUAUUCUUCUCCUUUGUACCAUAGAACCACUGCUUCGCUCUCCCCAAUAGUGAGAAUGGGAAGAGGCGAAGUAGUAUAGCAUCUCUGGGGACUCCUGAUAUGGUGAAUGUGCUGCAAAUCUCCAUGAAGUGUUGGAGAGGAGCACUAGCAUCUUCGUGUGCCUUCCCACCGAACUGGUUGGAUUGCACCAUGUUGAUAAGUCCAGGCUUGAGCUCAAAGUUGCCGUCGAUCUCUGCAGCAGGUCUAGUGCGGAUGUUGUCCGUAGUGGGAGCUGAGAACUCGCGUAUCGAUUUGUUCGCCAUGACUUCGAACUCUGAAGACAAGUUCCGGAUGAAACUUCGGCGGUCUUCUUGGUUGGAUGAAGCUUCUGCUGAAGUGUUGACGAUGCCUUCUUGAGCUUGGCUCUUGUUUUUCUGAAUAAUGCUUCAGGGUUGUCAACAAAAUUUCCUGAAAGAUGUCUUCUAUUCAUACAUUACCCUGCAUAAAAUAAAAUAGAAAAAUACCAGGGUAAAACUGUAUGAGAGAAUUGAUAAUCUCAAUCAUAUAAGUGAUGCGAAUGAUGACUCAAAAUUCCGUAUUCAUUCUUGAUUAGUAAUCAACCUUCCCCGCAACGGCGCCAAAAAUGCUUGUUGGACAUUCUUAACGUCAUUACCAAAAGUAGACUUAGUUUUCUAUUUCUGAUAACGGCGCCAAAAAUGCCAAACCUAUCCCUCAUGCCACUUAAGCGAGGUUGUCAUCCCCAGCAUGACAUGAGAGACGCGGUAUUGAAAUAUGCAAUUGCUCUUCUGAAUGAAUAAUAAUUGAGAUCUGCAAGCGCACAGAUUAAUACCGAUGUAGCAUUUUAACCGGGAAGUAUUCCAGGUAUCGUUAUUUAUAUUUUUACCACUCGGAAGAGAUUGUUAAUCAUCAAAGUUGAUUAUGGAAUAGAAUAUAGAAUUGAGUAUCUAUCAUUGCAUUUGUAAUAGAGAGCAUUAUCUAUCUCUUUCAUACAGGGAUAAAUGUCAUAUAAAAUAUAGAUAAAGUAUGAAUGGUGACAAAGAUAAUUAAUCUGAUCAGUAUAACUAACCACAUAUAAUAAUGAUAAGCACCUAUAGAUAUUUUAGCAAGUCAUUAGCAUGGAAUUAGGAUGAACUACAAGAAUAUUUCCUAAGUUAUUCUUAACUAUAAAGUCUAGCAUAUCAUAGUUAGUGCAAUUAUACUUGGCAAUCAUUGCGAGACAGGACUACGCCCAUGCAUAGUGAUAUUAUCAAGGAAGAUAAGAAACAUAGCAAUCACUCCACUGUAAUAAUGUUGUUCUGCCUGCCCUAUGCACGAGAGGGGGACUAUAUAAGAAUCAAUGGAGCUGUCACUACCACGAACUACCCCGCGAUCCGGCAUAUUGGGUACAAUCACAGAUAAAUACGGUAUAGGCACCACACCUACACAAUACUUAUCAUCUACCCACUGUACACAUGGAUAAAUGUUAUACGAUCCUAAACAUGUAUAUAAUUCCAAUCUAACUAAGCCAAGCAUAUAACUAUGAAAAACUAAGAACAAUAUAAUUGCAAAUAUAAACAAAUAGAGCAAAGUCAUAAUCAAUAUAUUGAAGUAGAACAAAGUCAUAUUCAUAAUAUUGAAGAACAAAGAUGAACAAAUGAAGAACAAUAGAGAAUCCUCUUGAAAGAUCCGGAAACCAAUCGAAGAUUGACUCCUUCUAGUUCUAAUCCUAUGUAGCUAUGCUAAAUUAGAGAUCUACUGAUGUGGUGGCUCUAGGGCUUGAUCAGAGGCUUCUUCUCCCGAGAUGGAUAAAUGAAUUAGGGUUUCAGGGGUUCUCUCCUCCAGGGGACAGGGGGUCUGCUUAUAUAGUCCUUCCAAAUGAAUGUGGACCGUCGGAUCAAACCGACAUUAAUCGCACGGUUUUCCUUAAUCCCUUAGGUCGGUGGAGCAUGAUCCACGAAGUGGAAGCUGAUUGGCCCUCAGACCAGGGCGGGCGCCCAAGGGGGAGGGCGGGCGCCCUGCCCCUGGGUCCGCUCGGUCUCCAGCUCGUUCCUGUGGCUUCUGGACUCUUCUAGAUGUUGGAUAACUGCGGUGCACGUUAAUAUCUCUAUGUAAACCCGACAUGUGGGUCUUUCCUUCAUAUUUCCUGAUAACCCCCUGUAGAAAUAGAUAAACACCAAAACUCGUGGAAUUCUGUCAGAUAAAACCCUAAGUCUGGGUAUUGGUUGCAUUUGGAUCCUUUUCUUUGUUUAUUUGUUGAUUAUAUUUGAUACUUAAGGACCGUCGUCAACACUUCACAAUGCCAAUCUUCAAACAGAAAUGUGCACCACUGCCGCAACUAAAUCUUUCAAUUACAUAAUAUACCCCAACAACACGUACGCUGAAAAAAUAUAUAGUCCAAUAAAAACAAAUACUCGCGCCGCAACAUAAAAAUAUUUAUUUCCCUUAAGUGAUAACAAAUAUUUACUCCCUACGUUAAAAAGAAAAAUAGAGUACCAACCUACUAUUUCCAACAAAAAAAAGUUACAACAAGUACAUGUGAUAACUUUGUUGUCUUUUCAUUCAGGAAUGAUUUUACAACUUACCUCACAAAAAUCUAUAAAUUUUUAAAAAAUAUAGCUAAAUACACAUACAACUAUACUCAUAUUUAUUAUAUACUCAAGAUACAAGUGAUUGAGACAUGUGACUUACUUUUAUAAUUGACCUACUCCCUCCGUCCACGAAAGAGCCAAUUUCUAGAGUUGUCUUAGGUCAAAAUUUUUAAACUUUGACCAAAUUUCUAGAAAAAAAUGCUAAGAUUUAUGGUAUCAAAUUAGUAUCAUUAGAUUCAUCAUAGAAUAUAUUUUCAUAUAAUGUGCAUUUUAUAUUAUAGAUGUUGUUAUUCUGUUCUAUAAAGUUAGUCAAACUUUAAAAAGUUUGACUGACACGGAUUCUAGGAAUUGAUUCUUUGAGGAAGUACUAAAUAAUAUAAAUAUUGAUAUUAUUCGGUGUAAUUAUAGUCUAAUUUAUGAUUAUACAUUUAUUAACCUAGCAAGCCAGUACUAAGUCUCCCAAGCAUCGUUAUCCAUCUACUUUCCCUCAUCCACACUGAAGCUGAGUCCGCCGAAGCUCUGAAGCUACGCUCUACAGGUAUGUCUUGCUUCUCCUUUCUUCUCCAAACUUCUCUUGCUUUCACAGAAACUUUCCCCGCUUAUACUUCACCCACAUCUAAACUACCGUUGGGAUCUAUUGACGAUUUGAGUACACAACGUUUUCUCCGAUUUGAGUACACCACAUUUUCUAUCCUUUCUGAAUCAAACAUGAUUUUAUACCUUUGGAUUCACACCGACUUCCUCCAUCUCAUAUGGCGCCACCAAUUAAUUUGCUAUUUAUUGAAUCUUUCUGUCUAUAGAUCUAGACUACGCACCCCGGUUCAGUAUACCUCUACACCCUGGACAAAUCAAGCAACAUUACUCGGAUGCUAGGUAAACGCUAUAUUUCGUUUGUUCUAUAUUCCUUGUAUUUAUUUCCUAUGUUUUAUGUUACCAAAUAACCCGUUUCCUAUAUACCACAACCCAUAAGAAAAAUGAGUCUAAAGCCUGUGCUGGAAUAAGUGGUGGAGCACUUAUAUUCUUAAGAUUUCGUAAUUUUUUAAAAAAUUAUUCAUCUGUAUACAUAACAAUUAUUGGUCAACCUUUGUGAAUAAUAUACCUAUAUGUAUAAUAUAUUGAAUUUUUAUGAAGACCAAAAAUAUAGAUUUCAAACUGACCCUAAUAUUAGCAUCAUUAUGGCACCUUUUUGGUGAAAUAAUUACAUACCCUCAUAUUAGUACAGUACUGCAUACAGAGUAAUACGCUUAUACAAUUUUUUGUUUAGGGAACAAAGGCUAAUACUCUGUCAGAAACAUCCCUGGAAUCAUAAUGGCGACUGUACCAAGUAAAAAAUUUUAAUUCGUCCUCCUUCGAAAAACCUUUUAUUAUUUUAAUUAUGCAAUUAACAUAUGCAUCUAACUCUUCCCAUUAGAAUCACGGCGAGAAACAUCAGUUAUUGCAAUGAUCAGAGCUAGUAGCUCCUGUAACCUUGGUCCGUAUACAAUUGCUAUGAUUAUCACAGAGGCAUUGCAGGAAUAUAGAGACAUCCUCAGCAUUGGAUUCUCUUCUGCCAAUUUUACUAUUGGUCUUAGUUCACCGGACUUCCAGCUAGCUGUUCUUUACUCUCGAAUAAUUGAAGAAUCAGACCUAAUUCUAGAUAUAUUGCCAUGGUGCCCUGAGUAUGUGAGUUUCGAUUUACCUUGGAUUAUCCAGCGCAAAAACAGAGGUAUAUAACAUUAAAUUUCACCAGCUUGUAAUUUCGUCUUCACAACAAUUUUGUUCAUUCUUUAUUCUCUAUACUAAAACCUGGAUUAUACUAUUCUUACUGCUGCAGUGACUCCACCAAACCAGCUGGGCAUUUACAUGAACAACCUCAUAAGUGAAGGAAAAUUAUCACAGCAAUGUAUUCGCCAACUAAUUGAAAAACAAUUUGGUAUUCCCCACAUAUCAGGUAUACAACCACAAGAAAACUUAUUCUUAGUACUUUACAUUUAUAAGCAGGAAUUUUAAAUUCAGAAUACAACUUAUUGCUAAAAUAUAUUGCAUUGCUAUUCCAUAUACAGAAAAUGCACAAGAGACAAACCAGAUCAUUAUAGAUGGUCUUACCGGCAUGGGGAAGCAAAGCUUUAUGCCAGACUUCAGCUACCUGAUGAUUUUAGAACUCAAGAGUUUUUACAGAGACAAAUUCACGGCUUUCAGGAAAUGUGCGCAAUCGUGUGAAGAACUUUGUGAUUGUGCAUAUCAGCUUUUCACCGAUAUCGAUCCAGCUCUUAAAUCUAUAGCCACCGAUAUAUUGUCCAUCGGAGAUAGCUUCAAUGAAGAAGUACAGUUCCUGAUAGCUAACGUUGCUCAAGACAUCCAUUCAGAAGGACUUUAUAUAGCAGAAGAGCUACUUGGGAUUGGAAGCAACAUACAUCCCUUAUAUGCUAGCAUGAAUUCUAUCAUUGAUCUAACCAGAUUCAAGAGCAAUAUUUGUAAAACACUGGUAAGCAAAAUACAAUAAAUAUCUAUAUAUCUUACCUUUAGAUCCAAUUCUUCGUGUUUACUCCUUUAUAUGAGCAAUCCCUGGUUAUUAAUAUAUAUAUCAUUACAUCAGGACAAUAUACCAGCAAAUUACACUCAACGUCUGCGAAUUAUUCUUAAUACAGUGGCUUAAAAAAAUUUAUGGAACCCCUGCUACAACCAAAACAGAGGCAACAUCAUGUUGGAUUUAUUAUGGGUUAGACCCAUUUAGAUUUAAUAAAUCAAUAAACUCUAUGGUGUGUAAUUAUGGACAAUAUAUACAUUGUACCAAAUAGGAGCAAGUCCAAGGGUUGGAGUGGCUGGCUGAUGGUACGGGAGUUUCAACUCAAUUAUGUGGGAGUUUCAACUCAUUAUCUGCGGGUGUUUCGAUAAUUAAUUGAGGGAGUUUCAGCUCCGCGUGAAAACCUUGAUGAUGCCCGUCUCUUCAGCCGCUAGCAGGGGAGUCCCUUCCCCUCUUGUCCUCUCCAGCCACAAGGAUAAAUAGGAGACUCAUCUCCUUGGUACAAGAAGAGAGAACACACAGAUCAUAGUUCCGUUGCAAAGUAGGAAUUCCCAUCUCGUAACUUCGCGCGCACGGAGGAGCGAGAGGGCAGGUGCCUCCGGAGCCCUUGCCGUUCGAGACCUUGCACGGGGGAUCGGCAAUUAGGUUUUUGGGGAGCGUCUACGCGACUGCCCAACUCCAUUGCUGCUGUUCAUCUUCUUCCCGGAGGUCUCUUGGUGUUGCCGGUCGCCGUCUUCUCCUUCCCGGUGAUUGGUUCGACGUCUUCACCUUCGUCUCUACUCCAUGGCGAUCGAGGAAGGACAAAGUUCUGGAAAUCUGAAUGCGCGAGUCUCAGGGUAUGAUCUGUUCAUCUUCCCUUAGUUUUACGUCGCUCUGUCUCUGUUUGUUUCAGUAGCUCUGUCGUGCAGGUUCAAUAGUUGUGUCAUACCUGUUUUAGUAGGUCUGUUUAGUUGUUUCAGAAGAUAUCUGUUGUCUGUUCCUGUUAUGUUUAAGCUCUGCGUAUAUGUCUCUGUUCUACAGUUCUGUUGUUUCGCUAGUAUCUGUUUUUCUGUUUCAGUAUAUCUGUUUAUCUGUUUCGAUAGUUGUAUCAUGUUUGGUGCUGUUACAGAUAAUUAUAUACCAUGCUAUGCUUUGAUAUUUGAUUUGCUUUAUGGAUCAUGGUUACAUGUCGUAAUUAUGAUUCAUGUCAUAUUUAUAUUUAUCAAUAACAUCAUAUAUGUCAUCAUCAUAUUGUUAAUUUAUGGAAUUAAAAUGACAUGGAAAUUGCCUAAUAUCCUAACAAUCCAAAAACCUAAUUAUAGGCAUUUUUCUGUCAGAGGUUUUGCUGCCGUGUUGAAACCUGAUACUUUUGAUGGUAAAAACUUCUUGAUCUGGAAAGCUAAGAUGGAAUUGUGGCUAACUGCUAUGUCAUGUUAUCAUGCCGCUGAGGGCAAGCCUGCUAACUUGUCUCCUGAGGAUGAGGCUAAGUUUAAGGCUGAUGACAACCUCUUUCGAGGUGCAGUGAUUAGCGCACUUGAUCCAAAAUUUCAGAAAAGCUACAUAAUUCUUCCAAGCGGGAAAGAGUUAUGGGAUGCUCUUGUGGCUAAGUUUGGAGUUACAGACGCUGGUACUGAGCUGUAUCUUAUGGAGCAGUUGUAUGACUACAAGAUGGUUGAGAACCGUUCUGUAGUGGAACAAGCUCAUGAGAUUCAAGCACUGGCUAAGGAACUUGAACUUUUCCCUUGUCCCCUGCCUGACAAGUUUGUGGCUGGCGGUAUUAUCGCCAAGUUACCACCUUCUUGGAAGGAAUUUGCUACUUCUCUCAAACACAAGAGGCAAGAGUUCAAUGUUGAGGAACUCAUUGGUACUCUUGAUGUUGAGGAGAGGGCGAGAGCAAAGGAUAAUGGGAAAGGUGUUGAGCCUUCUACUGCCAAUGUGGUGCAGAAGAACUUCCACAAGUUUAACAAGAAGAAAAUUCAGAAAAAGAAAGAGAACAACCAUAAGCCCAAUCGGUCCACUCAAUUCAAGAAAACUACCAACAAUAACAAGAAGGGAGGCUGCUUUGUUUGUGGCAGUGAGGAACACUGGGCAAGUGAGUGCCCAGAUCGCAAGUUCUUCCAAGGGAAGAAAUCAGCUAAUGUUGUAACUACUGAGACUGUAGGAACAUCUGGGUAUGGUAAUUCUUUGCCAUAUGUUCUUUCAGUUUGUAAUUCACCUGAGUGGUGGAUGGAUAGUGGUGCAAAUAUACAUGUGUGUGCUGAUGUUUCCUUGUUUGCCACUUACCAGGUCGGGAGGUCUGGCGCCUUGUUGAUGGGAAAUGGGUCGCGUGCUCAUGUUCUUGGUGUUGGUACGGUCAUUCUGAAGUUUACUUCGGGGAUGACGGUGCCAUUGAAGAGCGUGCAGCAUGUGCCCUCUAUCAAGAAAAAUCUUGUUAGUGCUUCUAUGCUAUGUCGAGAUGGUUAUAGAGUUGUCCUUGAAUCGAACAAAUGUGUUGUGUCGAAACAUGGAUCCUUUGUUGGUAAAGGAUAUGAUUGCGGAGGUUUGUUCCGCUUAUCUCUACAUGAUGUGUGUAAUAAAAUAGUGAAUUCUGUUGAUAUUUCUGAUGAGUCGGAUUUAUGGCAUUCACAGUUUUGUCACGCAAGUUAUGGUUGUCUUAUGCGGUUAGCAAAUCUGAAUUUAAUUCCUAAAUUUAACUUGGUCAAUAAAUCUAAGUGCCAUGUAUGCGUUGAAUCAAAACAACCUCGCAAGCCUCAUAAGGCUGCUGAGGCGAGGAACUUGGCACCUCUAGAACUUAUUCAUUCCGAUUUGUGUGAAAUGAAUGGUAUUUUGACUAAAGGCGGUAAAAGAUACUUUAUCACAUUUAUAGAUGACUCCACUAGAUUUUGCUAUGUGUAUCUCUUAAAAACAAAGGAUGAAGCGCUCCAUUAUUUUAAGGCCUAUAAAGCUGAAGUUGAAAACCAACUAGAGAGGAAAAUAAAACAUUUAAGGUCUGAUAGAGGUGGAGAAUAUUUCUCAAAUGAUUUCGAUGAAUUUUGUGUGGAACACGGUAUUAUUCAUGAGAGGACAUUGCCAUUCUCACCACAAUCCAAUGGGAUUACCGAAAGGAAAAACCGUACUUUAACAGAGUUGGUGAAUGCCAUGUUAAAUACAGCGGGAUUAUCCAAGGAAUGGUGGGGUGAGGCAAUUUUGACCGCGUGUCAUGUCCUAAACAGGGUUCCUACUAAAAACAAAGAGAUCACUCCAUUCGAGGAAUGGGAAAAGAAGAGAAUAAAUCUUUCAUAUUUACGCACUUGGGGUUGUUUGGCAAAGGUGAAUGUGCCAAUCAACAAGAAGCGUAAAUUAGGACCUAAAACUGUUGAUUGUAUUUUCCUUGGUUAUGCUUUCCACAGCGUUGGAUAUAGGUUCUUAAUUAUAAAAUCUGAUGUGCCUGAUAUGUAUGUUGAUACUAUCAUGGAAUCGAGAGACGCUACAUUUUUUGAGAAUGAGUUUCCCAUGAAAAAUACACAUAGUAAAAUAAGUCAUGAGACUACAAUACCCCAUGAGCAAGAAUUGUCUAUUCCUAUAGAUCAUGCUGAGGAGACUCACAUGCACAUCCCUGAGGAGGAUGAGACUAUAGUCACUCGAAAGAGCAAGAGACAGAGGAUUGCAAAAUCCUUUGGUGAUGACUUUAUAGUGUACCUUGUGGAAGACACGCCAACUACUAUUGUUGAGGCAUAUUCCUCUCCUGAUGCCGACUUAUGGAAGGAGGCAGUAAGGAGUGAGAUGGAAUCUAUUAUGUCCAACGGAACAUGGGAGGUCGUUGACCGUCCCUAUGGCUGUCAACCUAUAGGCUGCAAAUGGAUCUUUAAGAAAAAACUUAGGCCUGAUGGUACAAUUGAGAGGUACAAGGCAAGGCUGGUGGCCAAAGGAUAUACCCAGAAAGAGGGGGAAGAUUUCUUUGACACCUAUUCACCGGUCGCUCGAUUGACUACAAUUCGCACUUUGAUUGCCGUGGCAGCUUCAUACGGUCUUAUCAUUCAUCAGAUGGAUGUUAAGACGGCUUUCCUUAAUGGAGAGUUAGAUGAGGAGAUCUAUAUGGAUCAGCCAGAAGGGUUCAUUGCGGAUGGUCAAGAAAGCAAGGUGUGUAGGCUGUUAAAGUCAUUAUAUGGCCUAAAGCAAGCACCUAAGCAAUGGCAUGAAAAGUUUGAUAGUACACUUAUAGCUGCUGGCUUUGUUGUGAAUGAAGCUGACACUUGUGUGUAUUAUCGAUAUGGUGGGGGUGAGGCUGUUAUGCUAUGCCUUUAUGUUGAUGACAUUUUGAUCUUUGGAUCUAAUCUCAAUGUGAUUGAGGAAGUAAAGAAACUUCUAUCGAGUAAUUUUGAUAUGAAAGAUUUGGGAGAAGCUGAUGUCAUUCUUAACAUCAAGCUUAUCAGAGAAGGUGAUGGUGGGGUAACUUUGUUACAAUCCCAUUAUGUGGAAAAGGUAUUAAGUCGCUUUGGGUUUAGUGACUAUGAUCCUGCUCCCACGCCUUAUGACCCUAGUGUGCUAUUGAGGAAAAAUCGAAGAAUAGCAAGGGAUCAAUUAACAUACUCCCAGAUCAUUGGCUCACUUAUGUACCUUGCGAGUGCAAUGAGACCUGAUAUUUCAUAUGCUGUGAGCAAGCUGAGUCGGUUUGUGUCAAAACCGGGCGAUGAUCACUGGCGUGCUCUUGAGAGAGUGUUGCGCUACCUGAAAGGGACUAUGUCCUACGGUAUUCACUAUACCGGAAACCCUAGAGUGUUGGAAGGCUAUUGUGAUGCCAACUGGAUCUCUGAUGCUGAUGAGCUUUAUGCCACGAGCGGAUAUGUGUUCCUGCUUGGAGGUGGUGCUGUUUCCUGGAAGUCUUGCAAGCAGACUAUCUUAACGAAGUCUACAAUGGAAGCAGAACUCACAGCGUUAGACACUGCUGGGGCUGAGGCCGAGUGGCUUCGUGAACUCCUGAAGGAUUUACCAGUAGUUGAAAAACCGAUACCGGCUAUAUCCAUGAACUGUGACAACCAAACUGUGAUUACUAAAGUCAACAGUUCCAGGAAUAACAUGAAGUCUACAAGGCAUGUUAAGAGACGAUUAAAAUCUGUCAGAAAGUUGAAAACCUCCGGAGUUAUAACGGUGGACUAUGUCCAUACGUCGAAUAAUCUGGCAGAUCAAUUCACUAAGGGACUGUCACGUAAUGUGAUAGAAAGUGCAUCGAGAGAGAUGGGUAUGAGACCCACAAGUUAAUCUACUGUAGUGGUAACCUGCUCUAUGUGAUCGGAGAUCCCGUGAAGUAGAGUGGUGAAACAAGCUAUGAGUAGAUUGAGAGGAAAGUUCCCUUUUGAACCUAUCUCUGAUGUACAACUUUCCUUCUGUAAGGCAGGUUGGUAUUUACCUUAAUGUAUUCCAAGAGUCUUAUACAGAUGAGAUGUUGGCCUACAGAACAUCUUUUGAGGAAAACACCUAUAUGAGUCAGACUGCUGGUCACAGUCUAUGGGACUUGGGUAAUCCCUAAAUACUCAUGAAAGGCACUGAAGUGUGACUUAUAUGCUUCAAACAGCGGGGAUGCCUUGUGCAGCCAAGUAUCAGCAAAGAGCUUGAGUGGACCUCAUCUCGCACAAAACUGUCAAUUCAAGGCAUAGUCCAUUGUUCAGUUGUGUGUGGGUGAAACUUUUGUUCUAGAUGGAUGUUCAACUUAAUAGUCUCCAUCGAAACACUAAUAUAUCAAAGAAUUGUGGUUCUGAUGCUUCAUAAUUACAAACCCUAGAGUUUUGGGGAUUGUUGGAUUUAUUAUGGGUUAGACCCAUUUAGAUUUAAUAAAUCAAUAAACUCUAUGGUGUGUAAUUAUGGACAAUAUAUACAUUGUACCAAAUAGGAGCAAGUCCAAGGGUUGGAGUGGCUGGCUGAUGGUACGGGAGUUUCAACUCAAUUAUGUGGGAGUUUCAACUCAUUAUCUGCGGGUGUUUCGAUAAUUAAUUGAGGGAGUUUCAGCUCCGCGUGAAAACCCUGAUGAUGCCCGUCUCUUCAGCCGCUAGCAGGGGAGUCCCUUCCCCUCUCCUCUCCAGCCACAAGGAUAAAUAGGAGACUCAUCUCCUUGGUACAAGAAGAGAGAACACACAGAUCACAGUUCCGUUGCAAAGUAGGAAUCCCCAUCUCGUAACUUCGCGCGCACGGAGGAGCGAGAGGGCAUGUGCCUCCGGAGCCCUUGCCGUUCGAGACCUUGCACGGGGGAUCGGCAAUUAGGUUUUUGGGGAGCGUCUACGCGACUGCCCAACUCCAUUGUUGCUGUUCAUCUUCUUCCCGGAGGUCUCUUGGUGUUGCCGGUCGCCGUCUUCUCCUUCCCGGUGAUUGGUUCGACGUCUUCACCUUCGUCUCUACUCCAUGGCGAUCGAGGAAGGACAAAGUUCUGAAAAUCUGGAUGCGCGAGUCUCAGGGUAUGAUCUGUUCAUCUUCCCUCAGUUUUACGUCGCUCUGUCUCUGUUUGUUUCAGUAGCUCUGUCGUGCAGGUUCAAUAGUUGUGUCAUACCUGUUUUAGUAGGUCUGUUUAGUUGUUUCAGAAGAUAUCUGUUGUUUGUUCCUGUUAUGUUUAAGCUCUGCGUAUAUGUCUCAGUUCUGUUGUUUCGCUAGUAUCUGUUUUUCUGUUUCAGUAUAUCUGUUUAUCUGUUUCGAUAGUUGUAUCAUGUUUGGUGCUGUUACAGAUAAUUAUAUACCAUGCUAUGCUUUGAUAUUUGAUUUGCUUUAUGGAUCAUGGUUACAUGUCGUAAUUAUGAUUCAUGUCAUAUUUAUAUUUAUCAAUAACAUCAUAUAUGUCAUCAUCAUAUUGUUAAUUUAUGGAAUUAAAAUGACAUGGAAAUUGCCUAAUAUCCUAACACAUCAGGCGGUAAUUUCAUCACAUAUAUCUCUACUGAAAAAUCUAGUGACUACCAUAAAUCAAUACCAAUGACAACACAGACCGAAGCUGAAGCGGAUGCUAUUUACCGGUUCUUAAGGCACAAAACAAAUGUUCUUGGGUACAGCGUAAUAGACAUAGACUACUCCACACUCGCCAGAUUAGUAUCAGAGAUAAACAAAUACAAUGAAGAAACUAACGAGCUGCUACUUUGUGCCUCAAAAGCUGCAACUAUGAUACAACAAGUACAUAAAGAUAUCAGCAAAAUGUACACAGAUUUUCUAAAGCAGAUUCCUUGCGAUGAAAUUAUGGAGGUACAAAUUUCGGUAAAUAAUCGGCUUAUUUCAACAGAAGCAUACUAUAUGGCUGCAAAACAUGGACUACAUAUCUUUAAGCAGAACAAGGUAUAAACAAAUUAACUGAACUUUUUAUCAAAUUUUAGAAAACAUCUCGGGAUUAUUAUAGUAUCCAUACAUUAUUUUACAGCAAAGCUAAGAAUCUAUCACUUUGGAGACGAAGUACAGAUCAAAACCAACUUACUAAUCUUCGCCACUAAAGCAAGCAAUAAACAGGUACUUUUUUUUCAAAUACAUUACUUACAUCUUGCUGUCUUCUCCAAAAUCAUGCUACUUAUUCCAUACUCGCUUAUUACAUCUUCACAAUACAACGGCUAACUCAUAUAAAUAUUAAUUUCCUAUAGAUCUACAACUCCUUAUAUCGGCUAUCAUAUGACAGUGAAUCAGCAGCAACACCCUCUGGUACUGCGGUACGCCAGGACUCAUCGCUCAACCACAGUUCAGCUCUUUUGGUUGUACUAAAUAUACAUCUACGAACAAGCACUUUCAUAGGCUGUAAAAUUCCGGUUAUGUAAAAUAUAAUGUAUCUUCCGUUUAUACUAUAUAUAAAUAUAUAUACCUAUGAACAAACGCUUUCUGAUCCUUUAAUACUAUAAAAUAAAUUGAUCUACUACAUGUUUAUAUUUACUCCGGAAUACUUACCUAUCUUAUUAAUAUUAAUAUAAUUCCAAUCUUCAACACAACGCUUACAUACCAAAGGAAACUACAAAAUUUCCGUUGCCGCUCAAAAAUACACAUUUACACAUAUAUUGGGGAAAAAACACAGCCCAAAAGGCCCAUCAAUCCACCAGCAAUUUUUCUUCCUAUACACAUCACCCUUAUCUAUCCCCCCCUUCCCCAUAUAUUGGAAAAAAAUGACACAGCCCAAAAAGCCCAUCAAUCCACAAACAAUUUUUCUUCCUAUAGACAUCACCUUUAUCCAUCCCCCCUUCCCCCCUUAUCCAUCCCCCCCUCCCCCCCCCCACCCGAUAGCUUCACACACGAAGAUCCGCUGCCCCGACAAUCCCACCGCCGCCACUCAGCACCAAGCGAUCCUCCCUCCAUCAAAUCCAUGAAUAGAGAUAAGCAGUAGACACCAACGGUAGCUAACAACGCAAGCACCCAAACUAGCAGUACAUCUCCCAUUCACCUUGCAAGCUUUUCGCUCCAUAUCUGCAAACCCUAGGUCACCAUCGACGGAAGAACCAGCAAAUCGAAUCUGACAAAGGCGCAAGAGGCAGCUCACCAUAGGAACAAGAAUCUUCCAAAUCUCAGUACCAAACAGAUCGGUGUUCCCAUCGCUCAUCCAUUCCGCCAGUGGCUUGAAAAAGGUAAUAUUCAAGUAAGUCUCCCCUCCAUUCAAAUCCUAUAACACCGUGACAAAUAGUUAUCUGACAUUUCGCUAAUAUUAUACAACAGUUACUGCAACAAAUAAAACAAUUAUAUAAACAAUAUUCAGUCCAACUCUACUCAGAUUAAGAUUUACUUUGCUACUACUACUUUUUUUAUUCUAAACAUCAAUAGAGCCUAAAUUUAUUCACAACAUAUAUAAAUUGCUAAAUUACUAUCGAGACUUCAUAAAGCACAGUAAAAUACCGUUCCCUAUUUACUGGGCCAAGAACACCAUAACUGUUGUACUCCUAAAUCUAAUCCAAUAUCUUUUAUUGUAGAGUUUAAACACUGAUAUGGACAGAUUCUACUACUCCAAUCUUACCAUCGUUGAUGAAGGCGAAGACAUCAAACAAAGGACGACUCAACUGCAAGAAACAAUCAUUGCAAGAUUCCCACAACAUGCAUCAUAUAACAUUAGUCCACAAGCCAUUCAAGCAGCAGCUGAAACCCAAUUCGGAGCAUUUAUCAAAAUUUCAGAUAUAUCACGGUACGAAACAAGUUUUUUACUACACAUACACUCACCUAGUGCUCGCAGAGACAUGCUAACAAAAGGAUACCUAAAUAUGACUCCGCUCAGUCCAAACCUUAUACCAUGGAACCCAGAAUACGGUUCUAUUGCUACUCUAGCCUACCCACAAUUGUCAGCUAUACACAAUUUUGAUUAUAACACCUCAGCACGCAAUUUAGGUAAACCACUCAAGCAAAUCCAGAUGAAAAUAUCUGGCAUUCCACCGCAUCUAUGCAGCCACACAACAGUUGAUGCAUUGCUAAACAAAAUAGCCACAAUAAGAUAGAUUACACUGAACGCCAGUAACUAUACAUAUAUCAUAUCCGCGGAGACACACUGUCUCGAUGAAAUCCCACCUACAGCAACUGUAAGUGUCAGAAGAAUGCUUCAAGGCAGGCUUCUACUGAAUGUCUGGCCUAUCUGGUACGAGACAACUGACAUCACUGCCUCCACAUUAGGUAACUACUCAUUCCACACAACAAAAUCAUCACAAUUAUUAUACUGGAAUCAUCAGAUAUCUAUUCAUUUUAUUCUUACAAGACAAACGAACAGGUUUCACUGAGCAAUACGUCAACCCACAGCCAGAUGAUGAAGCAACCUCAGCAUACCCACGACAUAACAGAACUACGUCGGCAUAUGAUUAUGAAGGUAAAACACCGACAAUUAAUUUUGCCCUUAUUUCGAAAUGCCCAAAAAAUCCAGCCCAACCCACAGAAAUCAAAAUAUACAACUAAACUUACUGAAAUCUUUGCUAUCUAAUCAGAAACCGAGGACUUCUCGCCGGUACGUAACUCAAGCGAACAUGUAUGUGGUUGUGAAUCUAAUCGAAGCAUGAACUACUGAUCAGCUCUCCAUCGCAUAAAACAAGAUAUCGACAACUUCGUCGACACCGCCUAAUGAAUAAUUACAAUGUUUCCACUCACCGCUGUAGAAAACUUCUGUACCCACCGAACAACGCCACACUACUAUUCCACGCUACUAAUACCAACCAAUGGCAACCAAGAAUUAUUACCACUAUGAACGAUGUUGUAAUAAACACAAUAACCAAUCACCGCUAUUCGUAUCAUAUGUACUAAUAUUCUGAAUAACACAUCUAAUUCUGUCUAUAUCAUUUAGCAAACUACUGUGAUUAACACUUUUGCGCGCAAGGGCGCGCAUUUUCCACUACUUGAUUAGAAAACAACAAAGCUUUCAAAUGAUUACAAUAACCUAAGUUCCAAAUACAUUGCUAGCAUAAGUGACCUCCUUCGACAAAAGCAUGUAGAUGAGAACACUAUAUAGAAUCACCGAGCCCACCAGCGGUUAGCCACCAUCCUUAGCAGGUUGUAGACUUCACCUGCAACAUGGUGGGAUAAACCCUGAGUACUCGAAUAUACUCAACUAGACUUACCCGAUAGGAGAGAAAAUAAAAGACUCUCAAGGAUAUGCAAGGCUAUUUGGUGGAGUUGGUUGGAUAGCAUAUCUUUGCCAAAAAGAGCAUUACUAUCAUAAGUCCUUACUUUCAACCUUUUAGUCAAUAUUUUAGCAUCAAGUCCAAUAAAGCUACCAUAGCUAGAUUUGCACCUAUUCUAUAGCAACCAUUUGAUUAAUAAGAAUCACAUUAAUAACCAUAUCUGGUUUAUCAUGUAGCCAUCAUCAUCAUCAUAACCCUUAAGUUUCAUUUAGUGUAUCUACAUUGCCGCUGCUCAAGUCAAGUUCUUACUAUCCGAGAGAGACGGCGAUUCGAAUCGAUUCCUAUCCAGCUGGAGGGGUAUUCCUAGCACUCACCCAAGCAUACCUCGCGAGGGCAGCUCGGAUCACCUAGAGCACAACUCCAGACCAAUUCGCGGGUCUGUACGGCGCCGCACCCCCAGGGACCGCCAAUCUGCCAGGGUCAGGACUCUAACCUGACACCUCGGUCUUACGCCAUUGACUCUCCGCACAUCCUUGCUACCAACCGAGGUGCGCACUUUAACCGAUCGGGGUAUCCGGCCAGAGAUGCACUCGUAGGCUUCACGGUCGGAACGACUUAUCCGGCCAACUAAGUGUUAGGCAUGCGUUCAACAUGACAAGAGGACAUACAGCGUAUCGGUCCUUAAACGAUACAGACGGGGAUAGUCAUACCCAAGACCUCCAUGCCUUGUUGCUUCACUAUCGUCAUCCCGCUCGGUCCCAUUUCAUUAUUAGCACAUGGUUAUUUCCACGAUACCAAAUAUAGCCAACCGUGAUCAAGUAUCCACCUAUCUCUCGCAGGUGACAGGAAAUCACAUGGCUUCUACCGAGCUAAGCAUAGCUAAGCAUAGAACGUCUUCCUUAUACUAGUAAAGGUUCAGGUAGUUUCAUAUAGUGGACAAGGUAGGAAAUAUGCACCAACGGUUUCAUUCAACUCCUAUCACCUAAUGCAUCAUAUAAAGUUAUACUCUUGUGCUUUUGUAAAAAGAGAGGGUAGGAGACUUAGAAUGCUCUGGGGCUUGCCUGGAAUCCGACACAAGUCAGUUAAGUUAGCUUGCGCCAUCUUGACGACAUCCAAGUUCGUAACACUUGUGUAGUCCUUCCAUCAUUCCGAUAGGUCCACCGUCAUGUCCUUCACGUGGUUCAUCUCGUACCUAAAUAAGAUGCAAGAUGCAAGUACAUGAACAUAUAGAAGUGCAAUAGAGAAUGCAUCACACACAGGAAGCAAUGCAAGAGUAGGUUUACACUAAACAUACUUGAGCACUCCUCAUUGCUUACUUAAAGAUUACAGAACCAACAUGUUAAGACAACAAAGAAUGCAAUAAAAGGAAUCUGCCAUUUUUAGGACUGUUAACAGCUGCUGAGUAAAUAAAUCAUAACUGGAGUUACACAACUCCAAAAGACAUGAAUUAAGACAUUCUGGAAAGUUUAAGAAAUUAUCUGCAUUUCAUCUUUUGGUAGCAAAUCAUGAUUCACAAGUUUAGCAUGUCAAAAUAUUAGGAUUACAGAAUCAGGUCCUAACAAGACAGAGAGCAACCAUUUCUAAAACCCAACUUUGAACUGACAUAACACCCAAACCGCAUAACCAAAUGCCACCAAAUUUUAACAGCAGGUAGAUAACUGAAUUAUCUACAUCUUUGCUAUAAACAAGAUUCCCAGAAAACAUCAGUUACAUAUUGUAAUCCAAACAGUUCCAGAAACUGUCCAGAAACAACAAUUGCAAACAAUUAAUUAUUAACUUAUGUUUCCAACAUGCAUUUUAACAAAACCAUUGUUACCAACAGUUUGCACAUAUCUAAAGAACACCAGAAAACAUAGUGGUCAUUACCAAAUAAAUUUAUUUAAUGCCUUUCUUAAUUCAUUUGGAUAAUAAGGUGAAUUAAAGAACAUAUACCAAACAUGCACAGUAUAUUCCUCAACAAUUAUAGUAGCCUCAGCAUACCAUCAAUAGGCUACGGUAUAAAUUUCAUGGUAUUUGACUAAACAUAGCAUCAUCUAUGAAAAAGACAAAUUGCUAUUGCAAUUAACCAUGUGAGAGCAAGAUAAAUGCUCAAAUCAUAUUUUCUUCAAACACAUGACCAUAUUAUAUUUGAACAUGAUACAAAACUAUCAUAGAAUUGUACUGGAACAACAUUUUCCAUUUUUAGAUUUUUAUUUACAGGUAUAAAUGAUUUAUCAAGCUCCAUGAAGACAUCUUUGUUCAAAACAUGGACAGAACCUAUCAUGCCAUAUUAAAUAGCCAUAACUUGAGUUUCAUAUGCCCAUAAGUUAUGGUUAUGUACUCUCUAGAAAGAUUACUAAAUUGUGAACAACUUUGUUAUAAACAUCUAGAGUUAAGUCUACAACUAACAAGGUCUUACAUAACAAACAAUGCAUCCCUGUCUGGGUUUAGACAGAAACUGAAACAGUACUUUAAACCACUAUAACUAAACAUAUGCUUAACCAAAAAUUAUGCUAUUUAGCUUGAUCGAAAGCUUACGAAAAGUACUACAACUCAUAUAUUUUCAUCCAGGCAUGAUUCACAACCUAACUGAGCCAAACAAUAUAAACAUGCAGACCAACUCAGAAUAUGAGCAAAGCAACACAGGGCAAUUGUUAUUUUUAUAACUCUUGAUUUGUCAUUCCUAAAUUCAUACAAAUUUUACCAGACAUCAAAUAUUAUAUGUAAAGCAUGUCACAAUAUUUUCACACUUAUUGGAGCAAUAAUACAGUGGUUACGAAAAACACAAAUAUAACAAGCAAUUAAAACCGAACUGCACAAAUCUAAUUUUAGCGUUAAAACUUCAAACUAAAACAUGAAAUAAUAUAGAUCUACUGCAUAGAGAAUUUCACAAGGAUUCUACAAAGUCCACAUUUGCUAUUUUAUGACUUUUCUAGCAUUUUCUAUGCAUUAACAAAUUUCACCCAGAAAUCUGUAAAAACAAAAGAAAAGGAAAACACAUCUUGCAUCGGGAACCCUGUGUUUUCCAUGAAUCACGCUGCAUCCCAUAAGCACUAUUUAUAUGAUUGGCUUCGCAUCUGGAACCCUGAGUUGUUUCAUAUUCUAACCCGAGAUCCCUCCUCUUCUCUUCUUUGUACACAGCAGAGACAGAGGAGAUGGUCGGGUUCAGGCUCCGGCAGGGAGCGGCGCUAGGGCAUUGGGGGAGGCCCAGGAGGUCUCGUGGUGCCAAGCCGCACCCGAAGAGACCCAUAGGGCAACCAGGUUUGGCCAAAGAUCACCCGACCUUGUGCACUGGUGGCUCGAACGAGAGCAGUUCGUCCACGGCGUCCACAGCGCCAUGACGGUGGUUGUUCCUACGCAGACCACGAGGGGAUGAUGUGCGCAACUACAUCAGUUAGGGCAUUGAGGUUAGUUCGGCCAAGGAAGGUUGAAUGACGGCAGAGGGGGCGGAGCUCUGCUGCUCACCAAUGGUGGCAACCUGUGCCUGUCCGUCCAUGGAGGACAGAGGGAGAGAGCGGGAGAAGGAGGACUUGGAGAGAGGAAGGGGGCAUUGGAGAUGGGGAGGAAUGUCUCCUAUCUGCUCCUGGCAUCAGAGAGGCAGAGAGCAAGGUGGAGGUGGCAGCAAUGGAGAUCUUGAACUCGUGCUUGGUAACCACGUCCAUAACACGUGUUGUCCGUUGGGGCAUUUUAUCAAGCACGUGGCGGGCAAGGAUGUGUUCAGCGUGGGAAGCGAUUUGUGCCAGCUCUAGACCGAAUUUGGACAUGGACCAAAAACGAAGUUUGUUGUCCUCGUGCUGCUCUACGUUUCUCGUUUAAGGGUCAUGGCCAAUAGAGUUUUAGAUUAGUAGAUAAUUUGAUGCCAAUCUAUGAGUGUCAAUGAAUUGAUAAUGAUUAGAAAACCAAGAAUUGAUAACCAAACCGAAGUCAAACUGGUGUCAUCUUUUGGUAUGCUCUUUGUCCACAAUAUGUAUUCCAACUUCUACUUUAGGACCCAAACAAGUUGUUUAACAAAAUUUGGAGAACGCGGAAUGCUAACGUGAUGAACUCCAAUCCCAGACUUAGAAUUUCGAAGUGCUGGAAAUUACAGCAGAUUUAAUAUUGUGACCAUUAUUUGACAUCCUUAGAAGAUGAUUCAGACAUGGGCACUUUAAUAAAGUUUGUAGCAUACAAAUUGUACUACAACUUUUACUAAAGGACCUUGUACUGGUUCAGCCUGGGCUGGAAGAUACAAAGCUCCCAAUAUGGAUACCCAAAACUGAACACCUUGAGGACUUGGCCAAAAUUCUUUACUUCCAAAACAGCACUACAUUGAAUUUUGUAAGCUCAAUUUGACUAGGUUAGGGACCAAAAUAGCUCUCGAUCAUUAAACAAAGUUUGUUCUACAGAAUCUAAACUACAACUUUCAUUUAAGGUCAAAUCUCAAAACUAGUAUAGAAGUCAAACUUUCACUUUGGUCAAUGCAACAACUUGAUAAAGCUCAAACUAAGGUUUUAGGCUAAUUGAAGCACUUUUUGGGCACAAGCUCAACAUGAACCCGUCAUGAAUUUUGUUGUAGAGUUCAUCUAGAGUCAAAUGGGCAAGGUUGCAAGGAUUGGUUGUUGACCCAUGGUUCUAUUCACUUAAUGAGGCUAUUUCAACAGGCAUGUAACUUAUUGUUUCAUGUGACCUUUUGAUUCCAAACAUCAUGAAACUUUUUGAGUGCUCACUAUAGGUAGUGAUGGAUGUAGGACACAAGAAAUAGGUUCCAUUAAUAUCACCCAAGCAUGCACAUUGAAAAGGGCCUAUAUGUAAGCAAGGGUGCAUUAUCCAAGUUUAACUUGAGGCUCACUUACAUGGAUGGACCUUAACAUGAUCAUCACCACUUAUCUUGGCAUGUUUGAGCUCAAAACCUAAGGUCUAACUCAUGGCAAACACCUGGGGUGUUACAACCCUCCCCCCCUUAAAAGAAUCUCGUCCCGAGAUUCAGGGCGAAAGACUUUCAAGGGUAGAGAAGCAUGUUAUUCACUUCCAACAUUGGCGAUAGCAGUCAAUUACUUAUCCCCGAGCAUUUGGGGGGGGGGCUAAUUUGGUCAGGACACUUUCUCAUACUGGUUCUUCAUAGUGAAUUUUUGUCUAAAGAAUUUCCUUGAUUGACUUCCAUGAAGUAUUGUUACUUUAGGAGGAAUUCAAGACAACAUAGUUUUUCAUUCCCAAUGUAAGAUGGAUAAUUCAGAGCAUAAUAGACUACUCAUUACAAUGUCUCCAUGUUUGUUCACAAAGCUCGAAAAGCAGUGCUCUACCAAAAUGGCUGGAGUACAACCUUUCGUAGGGGAUGAGAUCAUGAACUAGAUAAACAUCCUUUGAGGUUAUGAGAAAAAAACUAACCAACAAACAAUGUCUAUUCUAGUCGUAAGGUCUAAUCAUUCAGAUGCCAAUCAAUGGAAAGCUACCUAAGGUUCCAUGUGUGCAGUUCUCCUUCUCUAAUAACAACACUGUAUUAUCUGAUUCUAUCAAGUCAAUGCUCAUGAUUCAAGGAAUUUCAUGGCUCCAAGUGUUAACAGUUUCCUAGGUCGUAUCAAUACAACCUCUUGGGUAAAAGGAACAUAGAAGAUACCCAAGGCAUGAUAGCAUUAGAUAAGCAUUGCUAAAGACAGAUGAUAAGAGGGUCUAGAGGACAACAAAAGUUGCAAGUAUUCACCGAACUAGGGAAACAAGCUACUACCAAGCAAGUCAACUAAAAUUUUCCUUAUUAAGCAACGGCUUAGUAGGUUCUUGGUCGACUUGCAUUGUAGCAUAAUAGCUUGGUGAGGCUACUUUUGAGAUUGAGGAUUCCUUUCUAGGAUCAAACAAUAGCUCUAAGAUAAUAAAUCUAAGAUUUGUUAUUUAACACCUUUCCAAUUAUCUUUGACUUGUAGAACGCCUAGAUUGCUCAAAUAUCGGUUGAUGCGAUAGGGUAACAACUAGGUGUCCAAGGGUGAAAGGAGUCUUUUAUAGGUCAUCCUAAGGUUCAUCUUGGUUCAGUUCACACCGCGCAAACUAGCUUCAUUAUGCAUGAAUUGUUAGUGUGUAUAUAGAUCUAAGAGUCUUCUCAUUAUUAACCAAGAUUUAGCUCAAGCAAACACCAUAUGGAUAACCAAACAAAACAAAACCUCCCUCAAACUCUUCAUGUAGACGCAGCUUUUUCAUGGAGGAUCGAGGAUAGGGUUUUCUUUACAUCUGUCUUAGAAAACAACUUCAAUUGUGGAUUGAACACCAACUCAAGGAUGCACAAGCAUUGGUAUUGUGGGCCAUUUUUUGUGGAGCUCAAGGUAUGCUCCACAUGAAAGGAUUGUGCUGCAGAAGAUAAGAGAUGAUGAUUAUCUUUUAGCACUUCAUCCAAUCAAGUCAGAAAGAAAACCUUUGAUAGCGCCAUACACAUAAUGAUGCUGGCCAAGACUAGGGACAUGCUUUUCCCUAGCUUGUGACCUAGAUAUAGCAUCUAGUACUAUAGGUGUGAUUAUCCAAGAGGGAAUUGACUUGACAACAUCGAGUUUGGAGAAGGAAGCCAUAUUUGCUUCAUUGAUCGACUUGUUAUCUUCUUUGGUGGCAACAAUUGUAGUUGAUGCGUAUAUAGGCAGUCAAGAUCAAAGUCAGCCAAAAGAGAUCAAAAUAGAGAUGGUUGAUUAUGACUGUGUGAUCACCAUGAUCAAGAUUUGGAUCAAUUCUUGUCUAAUUGAUAACUUGUCCAACUUUUAAGUGUUGUGUGCCCUUUGGAUUCAACAGUGGAUGACACAAGUUACUCACUAAAUGACAGAUAUUGUUACAUGGGUAACAAAUAGAGUCUCUUGUCUACCACCCCUUGCAGUGUGCUAAGGUUUAUGUCGGUAACCUAUUCUUCAAAGGAUAUCUUCUUAGCAACUUUAGAAGGAAGUCCUAUUAGAUAAGUCUGAUAUAGAUCCUUUGAUUGAAGAUAAGGAAAUAUAACAAAGGACAAGCUCAUGAGAAGAUAACACAGCGGUGUAGUUUCUAUAAUAGAUCAUGACUAGCAACCACGAUACCAGUGCGUGCCGAGCAGCAUGACCUUGUGUCUACAGCCACAGGAUGCUCUCGGUUUCGUCAUGGCACCAUCAAUCGUUAAACAUGACACAUUAUUGAUCUUACAACCAACAUGAAAUCUCACAUGACAUAGGUAGGUCUUGCAUGGACAAGAAUCAUGUGCAAGACAAAAUUAAACCAAGCAAAGAUGACAGCAAGAUUUGGAGGUAACAAGUAGAAGGUUAACGGAUAAGAACAAGACACAAGACAUACAUAGAUACGCAUUGUGCCCAUCAAGGUCAUUACCCAAUAAUUACAUCAUGAGAUGCGGUCAUGUUGGGUAGGAAUAUGAGAUCAAAGUCGAUAAGUAUCCCAAGACUUUGGGGAGGCUGGAGAUGACUUAAGCAAACUCCAAAGGUAAAUCCAUUACACCAAUGAGAGAUUGAGUUGAUAAGGAGCUACAUGAUUUGUACGCAAAGAUUUAGAGAUCGGCAAUAAGAGAUUGCAUUACACAAGCUAAGAUUUGGGAGAGGCAACCGGGAGGUCCAACAUGGAUUUGGUAUGGUCUUUGUAGCCAGCAAGAAUAACUGUAGUCAAAAGCUUUCUGUAGUGAGAACUUAUCCUAGCUAGUUGGCUAGACAAGGAUAUUUGCAUAUGGGUGCAGGACAACCAUGAUAUAUGCAAGCAUUUGAGAGUCUGGACAUGGGUUUACGUAUCAAGCAUAGGCAUGGAUGCUCAAACAUUCAAAAACUAACAACCAAGUCUAUAAGCUUGGCUCCGAAGAGGGAGAACCUAAUUUGAUACAACCAACACACAAUUAACAUAAUUUUUGCGUCAUUCUAAGAUAAAGCUAUUUAACACUCAUGCUUGCCGAGGACAAAAGAUGAAACAACUAAGGAACGAUCUACGUAACCAACAAUCACACAAGAUAACAGUUUUUACCAAGUACUUAAGAAACUCAAACACUCAUGCUCAAACAACCAUAACUAAGCACAAAGCUUACAUAUAACUAGCAUCUAUCUACAGCAAAACAACACAUUUGUACCACAUACAAAGAUUGUGAUACAAGAUGUGCUACAAAGUGUUGAUAUUUGGUAACGCCAUCAGGAAAUGAUCCGCAAGCGCACGGAUAUCGGUGAGCACUUCACCUAGGAGGUUAUCCAGAGUAUCGUAUUUAUAUUUUUACCACUGGGAGAAAGCGUGCAUCUGACUAAACAAACCUAUUGCUCAUACCCUUUAGGCUACAAACAAUGUGAUUCGAUGUGAGUGAUGAAUAGAGAAGACUACAACUGCACUCUCGUUCUAACCUUGGUAAGGAUGAUCUACUGUUCUAUUGGGGAGGCUUACGGAAUCUAGAUACCACAAAGGAUGUUCGACCCAUACCUAUAAACCCUAUCGAUCCUGCUAACGGGAUGUGGGCUACAAAGGUAACUCGGAGAUGUCACGUUCCUCGCAACUACCACGGUCCAACUAGACAGGGGAUAUCUAUGAGUACCCUAGCCCAAACACCACGUUUACGCUAGCAAUGAUUAUUGUAAACUCAACCGGAAGAGAUUAAAGUAAACUCAUAAACCAAAGAACAAUAAGAACAAAGCACUUACUAGAAUUUAGAAGUCGAAAUACUAAAGAAUCCUAGGAGCAAGCCUCGGGUUAGGAGAUUUGAUCCCGUAGGUACAACCUCGGAUUAGACACCGACAGGUCGGGCUUCCUCCGAUCUACACCUCCACUCUAUCUCUCUCAAUCUAGUAGAACUAGUUCUACUCUCACAUUGGAUGCUAAGCCCUAUGAGGUGGGAAGCCUAAGGAACCUCUCUCUCUGAAUCCUCUUUGGAAAAUAUGCUAAUGAAUAAUGAGGAUUGAGGAUUGCCUCCUCCAGGGGCCAGGGGGUCUGCUUAUAUAGUCCCCUCAAGUGAAUCUGGGCUGUCGAUCAAACCGACAUUGAUUGAACAGUUCUCCUUGAUCCUUUAGGUCAGUGGAGCAUAAUCCGCGAGACGGGACCAGAUUGGUCUCUAUAGUAGGGCGGGCGCCCAAGGGGGGAGGGCGCGCGCCCUGCCCCCGGGCCCGUUCGGCCUCCCAUUCGUUCCCGUGGCUUCUGAAGUCUUCUAGAUGAUAGAAAAUUGCGCGGCACAUUAAUAUCUCUAUGUAAACCCGACAUGUGGGCAUUUCCUCCAUAUUUCCUGAUAACCCCCUGCAUAAAUAGACAAACACCCAAAACACGUGGAAUUAUGUCAGAUAAAACCCUAAGUCUGGGUGUUGGUUGCAUUUGGAUCCUUUUCUUUAUUUAUUUGAUGAUUAAAUUUGGUACUUAAGGACCGUCAACAACUCCCCCAAGCUUACCUCUUGCUCAUCCCUGAGCAAGGAUGAACUCAAGAGUUUCUGCAGUUGUUUCAUGCCUUAAAAGUACACAUGCGUUCAAGCGAGAUCUCAUCUCUGAGUUAGAGUAAACUGUUAAGACUUAAAACUUUCUCAUUUCACCUUUCACCAUGGGGCUUGCAACCGUCACUUGUGUCUUGAGCAGUUAAAAGAUAGAACGGUCAAGUCAAGCGCCAUGUCUCUUGUUCUUUUAUCAACUAUAGCUCUGGAGUUUUUGCAGAUUUUCAAAUAAAACUCAGAGAUUCCUUGUAUGACUCUCUCAAAUCUCGCUUUUGUGGUAUUUCUAGAUCCUUUCUAAGGUAGUAAUGGUAUAUGCCUUCUCUCAAAGUAUAUGGUAUUUUUGGUAUGAGGCAUAGUGAUAUUGCCUUCUUUCUCACCCUACUCUAAUAAGGUUUUUAUAUCUGGAGCUCAUCGGUGGGAGACAGAUAAUACAUACUUACAAGACAUUUAUUGCAUAGUCAAACCAUGGAUCCAGAAGAACAAGUCAAUAAGUCAAAUCAAGAUGUGCAUGUGUGGCGAGUGAAUGGUGUAUGGUGAUGAUGGUGAUAACAAUAGUGAAAGUCUAAUUCUACUUUUGCUAUUUUUAAGGGAUACAUACCUUUCUUGCACUUUGAAGCUUUUUGAGGAGAAUGAGAUGCUCUAUAUUCUUUUUUUUCUCUCAGAUGGGUUUCAUGUACCCCUAAUUCUACUGUCGGACACUUGUCCAUUUUACCUCUCGUCUUACUUUUUCUUUUCUUCGAGGUUCCGGGCACUUGCCCCUUUUUAUUUUCUCGUAUUUUUUUCUUCUUUUUUUCAGAGCACUUACCCUCCUAGAAUAAUGUAGCAAGUGGUAGUAACCAAAAUAUCUCGAGCAUUUUUUUCAUAGGGAAUAACAGGGAUAGGAAAAAGUUUUUGGCUAUUCUCUCUCGGAUUAGGAGUAGAAUACUUUUAGGUGAAUCUGGAGAUGGAAUUGAGUAGAUGUAUGUCGAUGCGUACUUCCGGAGUAGAAAUAGCAUGUAUGAGUGAACGUGCAAGUGAAUCUUGAUUUUAACCGCAUGACAAGCUCCUAAGGGUCUACACAGCUUGACCAUACUCAAUGCUCAUAAGCAGUAAAAAGUAAAUGUAUGGUUCAUAGUCUAAUAAGUAUGUAUAUAUGGCUGUGGUAGGAAUUUAAACUCUCAUCAUACAGGAACUCAUCAUGUGUUAUUUUAAAGAUUUUCAAAGAUAAAAUUCUCCAGUAUUCUAGCAUCUCUAGGUACAGAUAAAUAGCAGCUCAACCUUUCCAUAUCAUAUCCGUUAACGACUUAGACUAUAGAUCAAGUACUCUUACCACAAGUUCAGGUUUAGAGCAGAUUUAAAUUAUAACAGUUAUGUCUAAACUUGAGAGAGAGCUCAAACUUGAAAACUAGGUACAUGACAGAGCAACUAUUAUCAUAUCCAUGUAAGAGUUUAUCAUUGAAGUUCAGUUUGACCUAGACACUUUAUUUAUUUAUUUAGCAAACUAAGCAAAGAUAUAUAAGCACAAAAAUUUUAUUUGGGUUUUUAUGAUUAUGCAUCUUUUUAUUUAUUUAUUAUUUGAGUAAAGUAUAAACGCGAGUAGAAACACUUAGCUAGAUAACUGGGGGUGCUCUCCCCCAAGCUGGAUUUUGACGUAAUUUCUUCUGAUGUAGCUAGCAGGUGACGGAGGUGUAUUUGAAUGUCGGCAGCACCCUAACAGCGAUUACUAUGUCCUCCACCGGCUAGUCUUCUUUAAUCCUUGAAUUCUGUGGAGCUCAAAUAGACAACAAAGCUUUAUGGAAUUGGUUAAGUGUUAGCAUAAAAUCUCUUAGCCUUUAUCAUAUUGAGAUUCCUCCUAAUAAAUUUUAUUUAGCAGGAUCAUGCACCUAUUAUUUUUAUAUUUUUAUUGUAAGAUGAAAACAUAUUUAUUUUAUGCCACCACAGCAAAAUAUACCCAUGGAUUUUAAACCACAAGUCUACUCAUAUGGGGCUUUAGAUUUUAUGAUGAAGUGCAACGAACAAAUAUUUUUGUUUUCUUUUCUAAUGCUAAUGUGGAAAAGUAAGUGAUGGAAUAAAAAGGAAAAGGAAUGCAGAAAAGAUAAAUAUGGAUAAAUACUGAUUUUACCGUCCGGCAAGGAUCCCAUGUUUUAAGUCUUCAGGACAAGACUUCUCACCGUGUUCAUCCUUUUAGGUGCAUGAUUUGAUUAGCUGUGGGCCUUGACAUCUGCACCUCUUGAUACGGUGUCACCCAUGUUCUUCGUUUGUCCAGCAGUUCGAAGAGCGGCGUUGCCAAUAUCCUGCUCAGUGUGUUUGUACUCGUAGAUCCAGGCCCUUCACUUGGUGGAGUCUGGGAGUUGUAAAACUCCUUCAAGUUUUGCUCGAAGUGUACCUGCUCAUAGAGACAAGGUAGAGAUCAAGUGCAUGGGCCCUGUUGGUGAAAAACACCAACAGAACCAAAAGUGUAUUUGUUCUUCUCUAACCUUAAGCAUAGUGAGCAAGACAAAGUUGAUGGAUAAUAAGAUCAUGAGUGUAGCAUUUAAAACAUUUGUCAGACCAGAUCGCUCAACCUAAUGGAAAGAUAAUCUAUCUAUAUUUAUGUUUUGUUUAUAUCUUCCAAAGAUUGAAUGCGCAACAUUUUAGCUUAUAUGAUUAGGAGUGUGAGAUCACAAAGGUAGUACUAAGAACAAAGAUUAAAGUACUAAACAUGUUGAAUUAAUUGGGUUGGUUAAUUUGGAGUUACCAAUCAUACAUGUUUGUCUCUUUAUUUUUUGUGAACACCAAAACCAAGGAGAAGCUUAUAAAAGUGAUAGUCAAGUACCUUAAGAUGUUACCUUACUUGAAGAGUGAUGGUACAGUAUCACCUUGUGGAAGCUUUCCUUUCUUAGCGGUUGUGCAUCGUGUUUGUGGCACUCUUUGUCUUGUUCCAUGGAUCAUCUUUCUAUGAUGAAUGAGCUAUGUCUUCCUUGUGCAAAUUGUUAACCUUCAUGUGUCUCUCUCUUUGUCUCCAAUGUGAGUUUAUCUCAGGACUUCCGAGGUCGAUAUUGAAAGUUUUCCUGCAGGGGUUAGUCCAACAAAAUAUUCAAUAUCUACUAUAGCAUACUGUUGGCUCAAAAAUCAACCUAGACACCAUGUCUAAUUUGAUUUAGAAGGGCAUUUUAACCUAAGCACCAUGCUUAAUUUAAAAUCCCUUGGAAGUAAGAUCAUCAUUCCUAAACUAAGCACUGUGCUUAAUUUAAGAGAUAAAUGAAACUACUCCAAACCUAGACAUAUACUAAAGCAAAUAAAGGUAGUAUGAGAGCAUUUAUAGAGAUCUACUCAAGUGGAGAUGAAGUGGUGUUAUUAGUAUUUAAUAAAUCAAGCAUGUCUCAAAGGAAGGGACAACCAACAAAGCAACUUGGCAAACGAUGUUUUUAUGUAAAGUACUCCCCAAGCUUGAAUUUUACAAAAUUCAAGUUUGGAUGAAUUUAAUUCAAAGUUGUAUGAUGAUUGGUUGGACAUACCUUGUGCUUGUUAUUCAUCCGAUCUUCUUGCUCCAAUCCUGGAAAGGUUAGUGACAAAAAUACCCGAAGGAAUAUUUCUACAAUUAUCUUUAUAUGCUCAAUACACAAGGCAAUGUUGCAAAUAAUUAGAAGUUCAUGUUACGAUUUGAUAAGUGCUUGUUUUAGGACGCUAAGCUUGUCCUUGGGAAACCAUCAAUUUAUGUCGGCGAAGUGGUUUCCCCUCCAACGCUGACCUACAUCAAAAUCAUCUCAACGAGAUCUGCAAUAUUUAUUAUAGACAUAUGCAUCGACAACCGCCCUUUUAAAGUUUUUAUAAAUAGAAAGGAAAAGGGGGUUGGAGAUCUCAAAUAUGGUGAUGUUGGAGAGACCAAUAGAUUGGGAAGAUGUUGCAUAUGAGCAUGGAGUAAACGAAGUGGCUAUGAAAUAAAUUCCAUGCUCAUUAAUGUUAUCUUCGUCUCCAAUCUGAAUGUUCAUAUUUUCUCUAGAUUGGUCUCGCCUAUGUCCUCUUCUGUGGUUGGAUGAAUCUCAUCUUCAAAGGGAGUCAAGAACUCACCAUUUGAAAUUGAGCCAAAGUUAGAAUCCAUUAAGGCUUCUUCCUUGUCCAUCCAUUCAAUGGUGAUAGCACAUGGAUUUUAAAUGCCCUCUAGCCAUUGAUGUUGCUCUCUCGAUCCUCCUUGUGGUCUUGGUGACUCUUAUGCAUGGGAUGCCUAGAGAGAUUCAUAGGAUCAUCGGGAGGUUCAAGAGAAAGAGCAUAAUAGAAAUUAUUAGGCUCAAGGAUGGGUUUAAAGAUAGGUUCGAACGAGUCAUCAAAAGUGGGCAUAGAAGGGGAGAAGAUGAAAUUGUCUUCUAAAUGGCUUCGCUCUCCUUCUAUUGCAUCACUUAUGAUGUCAUCCUUGAGUCUUUCUAGAUGUCCAUCAAAGGGAUUGGAUUUGAGAUGCUUUCUAAGAGAUCCCUUCUUAGGAAGGUUCAGACUAUAUGCACUCAAAGGUCUCUUAUGAAGCAGGAAGUUUAAACUCAUCCCAAAAUGAAUUUCCAAAGGUAGAAUUCUUCUUCCCUUAAAUAAUUUUGGAGCACUACUAGUUUAGGUUGGAUAGCCGAAUCAUGGGAUUGAAAUGUUUAGAAAUCGGCUAUUGAAACUUCCUUUCCUCUUCUGGGAGAUGAUUCCUUCUCUAUCUCUAGGAUUUUUUAUGAAGACUAGUGCAAGAAGGAUGUCCACGAAUGAAGACAUACCUUGCUUUACUAACAGAUAAAGAAAGAAAAACUAUACCAAAGGUUAUAUGAUUAAGACCAAUGUGAAAAUAUCGAGGAAAAACAUGGUCUUGUAGGGCUAGGUCUAACACAAAAUUUAUAGAAAGAUGAAAAGAUUCCCUAGGUGUAGCUAAAAGUUCAUUAUCUUCUUGAUUAAAAGAUAGGACCUCGGCUAUAGAAAAGGGUUGGUUUUGACCUAUUGCAAUCAACUCCGAACACAGAUCAUAAUUAGGGGCAAAGAAAGGAUUUGUUGACUCCCAUGGUCUAUGGCUGGUCUUCGAAGGUGCAAAGCAUUCAAUAAUAGGUGUGGAAUUUGAGUUAUCCAUAAAGAUGGAAAAAAUAACAAGAUAAAAGAAUAAAAGUAUAAAAGUAUAAUACAAGAUAAUAGCAAGACUCAAAGUUAUCUCAACAAACCGUCUUUCUCCCCGGCAACGACGCCAGAAAUACUUGUUCAUAUUUGGUAACGCCAUCGUAUUUAUCCAGAGUAUCGUAUUUAUAUUUUUACCACUGGGAGAAAGCGUGCAUCUGACUAACCAAAUCUAUUGCUACUACCCUUUAGGCUACAAACAAUGUGAUUCGAUGUGACCGAUGAAUAGAGAAGACUACAACUGCACUCUCGUUCUAACCUUGGUAAGGAUGAUCUAUUGUUCUAUUGGGGAGGCUUACGGAAUCUAGAGACCACAAAGGAUGUUCGACCCGCACCUAUAACCCUAUCGAUCCUGCUAACGGGAUGUGGGCUACAAAGGUAACUUGGAAAUGUCACGUUCCUCGCUACUACCAAGGUCCAGCUAGAUAGGGGAUAUCUAUGAGUACCCUAGCCCAAACACCACGUUUACGCUAGCAAUGAUUACUCUAAACUCAACCAGAAGAGAUUAAAGUAAACUCAUAAACCAAAGAACAAUAAGAACAAAGAACUUGCUAGAAUUUAGAAGUCGAAAUACUGAAGAAUCCUAGGAGCAAGCCUCGGGUUAGGAGACUUGAUCCUGCAGGUACAACCUCAGAGUAGACACCGACAGGCCGGGCUUCCUCCGAUCUACACCUCUAUUGACGGUCCUUAAGUAUCAAAUUUAAUUAUCCAAUAAAUAAAGAAAAGGAUCCAAAUGAAAUCAACAUCUAGACUUACGGUUUUAUCUGACAGAAUUCCACAAGUUUUGGUGUUUGUCUAUUUCUGCAGGGGGUUAUCAGGAAAUACAGAAGAAAGGCCCACACGUCGGGAUUACAUAGAGAUAUUAACGUGCCGCGCAAUUAUCUUACAUCUAGAAGACUCCAGAAGCCACGAGAGCGAAGCGGAGGCGAAACGGGGCCAGAGGCAGGGCGCCCGCCCUCCUGCCCUGGGCGCCCGCCCCCUCCCUGAGUCCAAUCAGGACUCUGCUUCGUGGGAGAUCUCCACCGACCUAAAGGAUGAAUCUAAACCAUACAAUCUUUGUCGGUUUGAUCCAACGGCCCAUAUUCACUUGAAGGGACUAUAAAACCAGACCACCUGGCCCCUGGAGGAGAGAGCCUCUCAACCCUAAUUCAUUAUUCUCAAGGGAGAAGAAGCCUCUGAUCAAGAUUAGAGCCACCACAUCAAUUAGAUAUUUAGAUUAGCAUAGCUACAUAGGAUUAGAACUAGAAGGAGUCAAUCUUCGAUUGGUUUCCGGAUCUGUCAAGAGGAUUCUUGGUAAUUCUCUAAUUGUGCUUCUAAUUACUUUCUAAUUAUCUUUGUUCUUCAAUAUUAUGAAUAUGACUUUGUUCUACUUAAAUAUAUUGCUUAUGACUUUGCUCUACUUGCUUAUAUUCAAGAUUAUAUUGUUCUUAGUUUAUCAUAGUUAUGUACUUGGCUUAGUUAGAUUGGAUUUAUAUACAUGCUUAGGAUCGUAUAGCGUUUAUCCAUUGGAUCCAUGGGUAAAUGAUAGAUAUUGUGUAGGCGUGGUGCUUAUACCGUAUUUAUCUGCGAUUGUACCCAAUAUGCCAGAUCGUGGGGUAGUUCGUGAUAGUGACAGCUUCAUUGAUUCUUAUAUAGUCCCCCUCUCGUGUAUUGGGCUGGCAGAGCAACAUUAUUACAGGGGAGUGAUUGCUAUGUUUCUCAUAUUCCUUGCUAAUAUCACUAUGCAUGGGCGUAGUCUUGUCUCACAAUGAUUGCUAAGUAUGCUUGCACUAACUAUGAUAAUGCUAGACUAUAUAGUUAAGAAUAACUUAGGGAAUAUUCUUGUAGUUCGUUCUAAUACCAUGCUAAUGACUUUCUAGAGUAUCUAAUUGAGGUGCUUAUCAUAUUUAUAUGUGGCUGAUCAGAUUAAUUAUCUUUGUCACUAUUCAUUAAUUCAUAUAUCUUUUAUGUGACACUUAUCCCUGUAUGAAGAGUUAGAUAAAUGUUCUCAAUUAUACAUGCAAUGAUAGAUGCUCAAUCUCAUAUUCUAUUCUGUAAUCAAUAUUGAUGAAUGUUAAUCCCUUCCCAGUGGUAAAAAUAUAAAUAACGAUACCUGGAAUACUUCCCGGUUAAAAUGCUGCAUCGGUAUUAAUCUGUGCGCUUGCAGAUCCCAUUCAUUAUUUAUUUAAAAGAGCAAUUGCAUAUUUCAAUACCGCGUCUCUCAUGUCAUGCUGGGGAUGACAACUUGGCUUAAGUGGUGUGAGGGAUAGGUUUGGCAUUUUUGGCACCGUUACUAGAUUUAGAGAACUUAGUCUACUUUUGGUAAUGAUGUUAAGAAUAGCCAACAAGCAUUUUUUGGCGCUGUUGCCGGGGAAAGUUGAUUACUAAUUAGGAAUGGAAUUAAAGAUUUUGAGUUAUCAUUCGCAUCACUAAUAUGAUUGAGCUUAUCUAUUCUCUCAUACAGUUUUACCCCGAUAUUUUUCUAUUUUAUCUUAUGCAGGGGAAUGUAUGAAUAGAAGACAUCUUCUAGGAAAUUUUGUUGACAAUCCCGAAGCAUUAUUCAAGAAGACGAGAGCCAAGCUCAAGAAGAGAUCAUCAACACUUCAGCAAGAAGCUUCAUCCAAUCAAGAAGAUCACCGAAACUUGUCUUCAGAGUUCGAAGCCAUGGCGAACAAAUCAAUCCGCGAGUUCUCAGCUCCCACUACGGACAACAUCCGCACUGGACCUGCUGCAGAGAUCGAUGGCAACUUUGAGCUCAAGCCUGGACUUAUCAACAUGGUGCAAUCCAACCAGUUCUGUGGGAAGGCACACGAAGAUGCUAGUGCUCAUUUACAACACUUCCUGGAGAUUUGCAACACAUUCACAAUAUCGGGAGUUUCCAAAGAUGUUAUACUACUUCGCCUCUUCCCAUUCUCACUGUUAGGAAGAGCGAAGCAGUGGUUCUACGCUACAAAGGAGAAGAAUACUACGUGGGCACUCUGCUCAACAAACUUCCUGGCUAAGUUCUUUCCCAUGGGCAAGACCAAUGCUCUCCGUGGGAAGAUUACAAGUUUUCAGCAACAAAAUGAUGAAUCUAUUCCAGAAGCAUGGGAGCGCUUUCAAGACUACAUCCUGUUGACGGUCCUUAAUGCUCACAAUUAACCAUCAACUAAUCAUGGAAAAGGAUCCAAAUGCAACCAACACCUAGGCUUAGGGUUUUAUCUGACAGAAUUCCACAAGUUUUGGUGUUUGUCUAUUUCUGCAGGGGGUUAUCAGGAAAUACGGAAGAAAGGCCCACAUGUCGGGUUGACAUAGAGAUAUUAGCGUGCCGCGCAAUUUUACGUCAUCUAGAAGACUCCAGAAGCCACGGGAACGAACGGGAAGGCGAACGGGCCUGGGGGCAGGGCGCCCGCCCACCCCCCCUUGGGCGCCCGCCCAGGAGUUGUAGUCAAACACGUCCAACUUUGCGGACAACGCUCCACCGACCUAAAGGAUCAAGGAAAACCACACGAUCAAUGUCGGUUUGAUCCGAUGGCCCAGAUUCACUUGAAGGGACUAUAAAACCAGACCCCCCUGGCCCCUGGAGAUCAUACCUCUUCUACAGAAUCAAAGUUAGGGUUUCAAUUCUUCAUCCAAGUAGAGAGGAUCCCUCUAGUUCUUCUAGUUCUACCUCUAGUUCAUCUAGAUCUAGUUCUAGUUCAUCUAGUUCUAGUUCUAGUUCCUCUAGUUCUAGUUCUAGUUAGUUCUAGUUGUAAUCUAGAAAAUAGGGAGAGAGAAGAGGAGAGCGGAGGAGGAGCCGGAUCUGUCGGAUCUUCCUCAACAUUAUACUUUUGCAGCAUCUGGUUCGUUCUUCAUCGUUCUCCAGGUUCUUCAAUUCAUAAUUCCUGAGUUCUUUAAUUACUUUUAUUUACAUUCAAGUUAUUUAUUGGAUUCCCGCUUGCAUCAAGUGCUCUAGUCUUUAUAAUGCUAGAGUAGUAAUUAAUAGAUUAGACGUGGUGUUUAGUCUUGUGAUUACCUGGAAUUGCACCCAAUCCCACGGAUUGUUGUGGUAGCCCUAGGGUAGUGACAGCCCUAACGGUCGACGUAUUCCACCACGUUCGGAUCGGUGUUUGUAGGACCGUAGUCAGACCUUCCUAGCCCCCUUCUCAUCUCUUUCUGUGGUUAGUGCUCUGAUGUCCCGAUAUAGAUAAUCUUGAAGUAAUUCUUGAUUCUUAGAUCAAUUAGAGAACUCUCAGGAAACUUCCUCUCUUCCCACCAAAAACAAUUAUAUAGUUAUCCUUGGGCGAUCUUGAUUCUUAAUUAGUACACUCACGUUCCCUGUGGAAAAUCGAUACUCUGGAAUACUCCCGGGUCAAGGCUACAUCAGUAUCCGUGCGCUUGCGGAUUUUUCUGUUUGCGUUUAAAAUACCCAACAAGCUUUCUGGCGCCGUUGCCGGGGAACGGUAGCUGUGCUAGUUUCGAACCAAGUCGUCUGUGUAUCCUUUUUCUUUUCCUUUUAUACCACACUCACCUUAUCAUUUUUACCAUACCACAUGGAUUUCACUCUAAGCAUUAAUGAGCAUGGAAUUUAUUUCAUAGCCACUUCAUUUACUCCAUGCUCAUACGCAACAUCUUCACAAUCCAUUGGCCUCUCCAACAUCACCACAUUCGAGAUCUCCAACCCCCACUUCCUUUCUAUUUAUAAAAACUUUAAAAGGGCGGUUGUCGAUGCAUAUGUCUAUAAUAAAUUUUGCAGAUCUCGUUGAGUUGAUCUUAAUAUAAGUCAGCGUUGGUGGGGAAACCACUUCACUGACAUAAAUUGAUGGUUUCCCAAGGACAAGCUCAGCGUCCUAAAAUAAGCACUGAUCAUACCAUAACAUAAACUUUUAAUUAUUUGCAACAUUACCUUGUGUGUUGAGCAUAUUAGGAUAAUUGUAAAAAUAUUCCUUUGGGUAUUCUUGUCACUAACCUUUCCAGGAUUGGAGCAAGAAGAUCGGAUGAAUGACAAGCACAAGGUAUGUACAACCAAUCAUCAUACAACAUUGAAUUAAAUUCAUCCAAACUUGAAUUUUGCAAAAUUCAAGCUUGGGGGAGUACUUUACAUAAAAACAUCCUUUGCCAUGUUGCUAUGUUGGUUGUCCCUACCUUUGAGACAUGCUCAAUUUGUUAAAUACUAAUCACACUACUUCAUCUCCACUUGAGUAGAUCUACAUAAAUGCUCUCAUGGUACAUUUAUUUGCUUUAGUAUAUGUCUAGGUUGGAGUAGUCUCAUUUAUCUCUUAAUUAAGCAUGGUGCUUAGUUUAGGAAUGAUGAUCUUACUUCCAAGGGAGUUUAAAUUAAGCAUGAUGCUUAGGUUAAUAUGCCCUCCUAAAUCAAAUUAGACAUGGUGUCUAGGUUGAUCUUUGAGCCGAUAGUAUGCUAUAGUAGAUAUUGGAUAUUUUGUUGGACUAACCCCUGCAGGAAAACUUUCAAUAUUGACCUGGGAAGUCCUGAGAUAAACUCACAUUGGAGACAAAAAGAGAGACGCAUGAAGUUUAACAAUUUACACAAGGAAGGCAUAGCUCACAAGAGAUGAUCCAUGGAGGGUGCCACAAACAUGAUGCACAACCGCUAAGAAAGGAAAGCUUUCACAAGGUGAUACUAUACCAUCACUCUUCAAGUAAGGUAACAUCUUAAGGUACUUGACUAUCACUUCUAUAAGCUUCUCCUUAGUUAUGGCGUUCACAUGAAUAAAAGAGACAAACAUGUAUGAUUUACAACUCUAGAUUAACCAACCCAGUCGAUUCAAUAUGUUUAGUCCUUCCACCUUUGUGAUCCCACACUCCUAAUCAUAUGAACUAAAAUAUGGCACACUCAAUCUAUGGAAGACAUAUAAAAACAACAUAAAUAUAGAUUGAUUAUCUUUCCAUUAGGUUGAGCGAUCUGAUCUGACAAAUGUUAUAAAUGUUAUACUCAUGAUCUUAUUAUCCAUCAACUUUGUCUUGCUCACUAUGCUUAAGGUUAGAGAAGAACAAAUACACUUUUGGUUCUGUUGGUGUUUUCCACCAACAGGGCCCAUGCACUUGAUCUCUGCCUUGUCUCUAUGAGCAGGUACACUUCGAGCAAAAUAUGAAGGAGUUUUACAACUCCCAGACUCCACCAAGUGAAGAACCUAGAUCUACGAGCACAAGCACACUGGAGAUACUGGACACUCAGGCAAUCACUGCCCUAAGAUGCUUGAGGACGUAACUACUGGAGUAUCCCCAUUGUGGAAGUAAUUACUGACCUUCUGCCGGUCAAGAGAGACAACCCAGGAUGCCCCGUCAUCCCGAUCUCCAUCGGCAUGCCUGCAGAUCAGACACUAAGUUUCCCAAAGGGAGUAUUGAAGAACCUCUGCGUCCAAGUUGGUACCUUAUACGCCCCAGCAGACUUCGUGGUGAUAGAGACUGGUACUGAUGAGAGGGCACCCAUCAUCCUAGGGAGGCCAUUCCUGAACACCUCGGGAGCUGUCAUCUACGCUAGGGCUGUCAAGAUCAGUUUCUACAUCAAGGGGAAGAAGGAGACGUUUUCCUUCAAGAAACAAGACUACACAAAUCCCAGAGCAAUCCCGACAUGAACCAAGGAAGAGGACCAACAGGAGGAACAAGAACAAGUAAAUGUGUACCGAGUCAGCUAAGAUGGUCACUGCAGCUCAAGGAGGUCAAGAUCGUCAACUUAAGUCACCUUUCUUGAUCAAGAAGGACGACCCUGGUGUCCCAAGCAUCGAGUGCACAAUCAACGGAUAUUCUUUUCAGAAGACACUCUACGACACCGGGUCUGAUGUCAAUGGCCGCAGUCACCUAUCAGCUCCUAUUUAGAACCAUGCCCCUACAACCAAAAUACAUUCAGCUCCAGAUGAUUUGAAGGUUAUUGUCAUGGGAGAAGACGAGUACAAUCCACCCGUCAUCCUUGGAAGACCGCUCCUCAGCACCGUUAAAGCAAUCAUCUACAUUGGAACCAGAGGAGUCCACAUGCAUUUCCCCUUUGAGAAGGUACGCUGCUAUUUUACUGACCCUAACCAUAUAGUUGAAGACUCUAAGCAGGUCAAGACAAGAAGAAGACGACGCAACCGCAACCAGAGAAGGCAAAUCAUCAAGNNNNNNNNNNNNNNNNNNNNNNNNNNNNNNNNNNNNNNNNNNNNNNNNNNNNNNNNNNNNNNNNNNNNNNNNNNNNNNNNNNNNNNNNNNNNNNNNNNNNNNNNNNNNNNNNNNNNNNNNNNNNNNNNNNNNNNNNNNNNNNNNNNNNNNNNNNNNNNNNNNNNNNNNNNNNNNNNNNNNNNNNNNNNNNNNNNNNNNNNNNNNNNNNNNNNNNNNNNNNNNNNNNNNNNNNNNNNNNNNNNNNNNNNNNNNNNNNNNNNNNNNNNNNNNNNNNNNNNNNNNNNNNNNNNNNNNNNNNNNNNNNNNNNNNNNNNNNNNNNNNNNNNNNNNNNNNNNNNNNNNNNNNNNNNNNNNNNNNNNNNNNNNNNNNNNNNNNNNNNNNNNNNNNNNNNNNNNNNNNNNNNNNNNNNNNNNNNNNNNNNNNNNNNNNNNNNNNNNNNNNNNNNNNNNNNNNNNNNNNNNNNNNNNNNNNNNNNNNNNNNNNNNNNNNNNNNNNNNNNNNNNNNNNNNNNNNNNNNNNNNNNNNNNNNNNNNNNNNNNNNNNNNNNNNNNNNNNNNNNNNNNNNNNNNNNNNNNNNNNNNNNNNNNNNNNNNNNNNNNNNNNNNNNNNNNNNNNNNNNNNNNNNNNNNNNNNNNNNNNNNNNNNNNNNNNNNNNNNNNNNNNNNNNNNNNNNNNNNNNNNNNNNNNNNNNNNNNNNNNNNNNNNNNNNNNNNNNNNNNNNNNNNNNNNNNNNNNNNNNNNNNNNNNNNNNNNNNNNNNNNNNNNNNNNNNNNNNNNNNNNNNNNNNNNNNNNNNNNNNNNNNNNNNNNNNNNNNNNNNNNNNNNNNNNNNNNNNNNNNNNNNNNNNNNNNNNNNNNNNNNNNNNNNNNNNNNNNNNNNNNNNNNNNNNNNNNNNNNNNNNNNNNNNNNNNNNNNNNNNNNNNNNNNNNNNNNNNNNNNNNNNNNNNNNNNNNNNNNNNNNNNNNNNNNNNNNNNNNNNNNNNNNNNNNNNNNNNNNNNNNNNNNNNNNNNNNNNNNNNNNNNNNNNNNNNNNNNNNNNNNNNNNNNNNNNNNNNNNNNNNNNNNNNNNNNNNNNNNNNNNNNNNNNNNNNNNNNNNNNNNNNNNNNNNNNNNNNNNNNNNNNNNNNNNNNNNNNNNNNNNNNNNNNNNNNNNNNNNNNNNNNNNNNNNNNNNNNNNNNNNNNNNNNNNNNNNNNNNNNNNNNNNNCUAAAAAAAAUAAAUACGAGGAAAUAAAAAGGGGCAAGUGCCCGGAACCUCGAAAGAAAAGAAAAAAAAAAGAGAGAGAGAAAAAAAAGAGAAAAAAAAAGUGAGACGAGAGGUAAAAAUGGACAAGUGUCCGACAGUAGAAUUAGGGGUACAAGAUACCCGUUUGAGAGAAAAGAAAAAGAAAAUAUAGAGCAUCUCAUUCUCCCUGAAAGUUUCAAAAGAGCAAGAAAGGUAUGUAUCCCCUCAAAAGAGCAUAAGUAGAAUUAGACUUCCACCAUUGUUAUCACCAUCAUCACCAUACACCAUUCAUGGGUUACACAUGCACAUCUUGAUUUGACUUAUUGAGUUGUUUCUUUGGAUCCAUGGUUUGACUAUGCAAUAAAUGUCUUGUAAGUAUGUAUUAGCUGUCUCGGACCUAUGAGCUCCAGAUAUCAAAAGCCUUAUUAGAGUAGGGUGAGAGAGAAGGCAGUGUCACUAUGCCUUAUACCAAAAAAUACCACAUACUUUGAGAGAAGGCAUAUACCAAUACUGCCUUGGUAAGGAUCUAGAAAUACCACAAAAGAGAGACUAGAGAGAGUCAUACAAGGAAUCUCUGAGUUUUAUUUGAAAAUCUGCAAAAACUCCAGAGCUAUAGUUGAUCAAGAACAUUAGACAUGGUGCUUGACUAGACCGUUCUAUCUUUUAACUGCUCAAGACACAACUGACGGUUACAAGCCCCAUGGUGAAAGGUAAAUGAGUAAGUUUUAAGUCUUAACAGUUUACUCUAACCAGAGAUGAGAUCUUGUUUAAACGCAUGUGUAUCUUUAAGUUAUGAAACCACUGUAGAAACUCUUGAGUUCAUCUUUGCUCAGGGACGAGCAAAGGUUAAGCUUGGGGGAGCUUGUUGACGGUCCUUAAUGCUCACAAUUAACCAUCAACUAAUCAUGGAAAAGGAUCCAAAUGCAACCAACACCUAGACUUAGGGUUUUAUCUGACAGAAUUCCACAAGUUUUGGUGUUUGUCUAUUUCUGCAGGGGGCUAUCAGGAAAUACGGAAGAAAGGCCCACACGUCGGGUUGACAUAGAGAUAUUAACGUGCCGCGCAAUUUUACGUCAUCUAGAAGACUCCAGAAGCCACGGGAACGAACGGGAAGGCGAACGGGCCCGGGGGCAGGGCGCCCGCCCACCCCCCUUGGGCGCCCGCCUAGGAGUUGUAGUCAAACACGUCCAACUUUGCGGACAACGCUCCACCGACCUAAAGGAUCAAGGAAAACCACACGAUCAAUGUCGGUUUGAUCCGAUGGCCCAGAUUCACUUGAAGGGACUAUAAAACCAGACCCCCCUGGCCCCUGGAGAUCAUACCUCUUCUACAGAAUCAAAGUUAGGGUUUCAAUUCUUCAUCCAAGUAGAGAGGAUCCCUCUAGUUCUUCUAGUUCUACCUCUAGUUUAUCUAGAUCUAGUUCUAGUUCACCUAGUUCUAGUUCUAGUUCCUCUAGUUCUAGUUCUAGUUAGUUCUAGUUGUAAUCUAGAAAAUAGGGAGAGAGAAGAGGAGAGCGGAGGAGGAGCCGGAUCUGUCGGAUCUUCCUCAACAUUAUACUUUUGCAGCAUCUGGUUCGUUCUUCAUCGUUCUCCAGGUUCUUCAAUUCAUAAUUCCUGAGUUCUUUAAUUACUUUUAUUUACAUUCAAGUUAUUUAUUGGAUUCCC